AUAAAAAAAUAUAUUUUAAUAUAUAUAUUUUAACAUUCUUAGUAAUUUUUUUAUAGCAGUAUUAAAAAGAUAAAAUACUUACUCAGAAUUUUUCUUUAUAGAUUAAAUAUUUAUUAAUCAAUAUUUUAUGAUAAGUAAUUUUUAUUAAAAAUAAGCAUCAGCAUUGCCAAAUAGAAUCUACUUAAAAAAAUUUAAAUUAUUUUGCAGGAGAAGAUACAAAAAAACUAUCAUUCGAGAAUAUUAGAUUUUGAAUAGCGAAUAUAUAAAGAUACAAUACAAAUAAAUUAUAAUUUUUUUAUUUAUAGAGGCGGAGUGUAAUAUCAGAAUAGUACGGGGACUACAAUACAAUUUAGCAGAAUUAUUUUCGAGUUAUUUAUGUGAUAUAUAAUUAUUAUUUAUCUAUAAUAUUAUAAUUGAUUAAUUAAACUGUGCUUAUAUUAUAUCUCUCAUUUUAUUUAAGCCCAACUGGCGCGGCCCGAGCGACUCUAAUCGAAAUGACGAAAAUGCCCCUCGUGGGCACUGCCCCCAAGCUCCAACGGUCGGCCACGUAAGCGCCCGAUCAUCGAGGCGAACCGAUCUCGGCCGUCCGAUCAGCCCCCGUUGGAUACCAUUGCGGUGGGGCCCACCGUGGGGGCCCGUUUACGAGUUUUUUUGUAACGUUAGUCCAGCGUGUCACGGCCCAAUAAAGAACUAGUGCGGGGCCCACAUGACAGCGUGAAAUCACUGGCCUCUGGGGCCCACUUCUGAGCGUACAAAGAAUUAAAAAAAUUAUUAUUGUUUAACAAAAUUUCAAACUUAAAAAACUAAAUAAAUAAUAAUUUGACUUAUGUGACGGCGCAAUCUCAUCACCAAUCACGUUUGUUUCGAAUUACACGAAAAAAAAAAAAAACGAUAAAAAAUAAUUUUAUUGUUAUCGUAUUAUCAUAAGGGUGCGUUUGGUUCGCGCUAUCUUUUAAAGAUUCCUAGUAAUCCAAUGGGAAUAAAAAAAUAUGACGGUGUUUGGCUAAGCGCAUUAAGUAAUCUAGUUGGUAAUAUUUGAUUCACUUGGGAAUAAGAUUCACCCCAAAGUACUAAUCUUAUUCCCCUGAGGGAGGGUGGGUAUCCUCAUAUUAAUGGAUUGGGGUAAUCAUAAUAUGUCUAAUCUCUUUCUUUCUUCCUACCCGUCGGCUAAUUGAUAUUAUUUUUCUUUACACUCUAACCUUAUAUCUCUCUCUAAACUUAUUUUUCUCUCUAAAAUUCAACUUUUUUUUUCUCUCUCCCAUCUAAGCUUUCUUUCUCUUUCUCUUUCUAAAAUUUCAACUCUCUCACUCACCUCUAAUUUUGACUAUAUUUUUUUUUCUAUUUUUUUAAUUAUGUCCUCUCUAACUUAUACUCUCUCUUCCUUUUUUCUAAAAAGAUGUUGAAACUUUUGGUAUAAUUAUCUAAAAUUAAUUAAAUAAAUAAAUAAAUUAUAUUGUAUAUUUUUUAUAAUAUUAAAUAACAUGGCUAAUUAAUAUUACGUGGCGAACCAAACCAGGAAUUCCACAUUCUUAAUAAUAAAUGAAUAGGAAUAAAGAUUCUCAGAUAUUUUUUAUUCCUAGUAAUUCUUUUAUAAAUGCGAACCAAACGCACCCUAAAAGUUAACAGUCUCUAACAUAAUUUUGGUAAGAUAUAAUUUUACAAUAUAAAUAAGAAAAUAAAAAAAAGUAUGUUCUGAAAAUAGUUUUUUUUCCUUUAUUAAGCGGCUUUCAAAUUGUUUUUUUUCUCUUUAUAUAUUUGAAAGACAAGAUUUAAAUAGCCAAUAUAUAAAAAAAAUAAGAUUUGAAAAAUUGCAUCAAAAACAGUUCUUAAAAAAAAAAAAAAAAAAGGUGGGGGGCAAAACUUCAAUAGCCCGCAAUGUGGUUUCACACUUUUUUACCUUAAGUAUUUUUAUGUUUAAAAGUGUAUUAAUUUACUAACUUAUGGUUUUUUUUUUUUUUUUUUUCAUCAGCUCCUCCGUUAACACGUCGUUAAAUUAUAUGCAAAAAUUUUAGAUACGUCAUCUAGGUUUGUCGAGUAUUCAUUUUAAUACCUUUUAGUUUUAACUUUAUUGCUGAUUUAAUAAAAAAAAUUAAUCGAAAGGAUAAUAAGUAGAGACAAAUGAAAUCACGAUAUACUAAAUUGAUACAUUUUAAACCACAGGGUAUUAAAAUAAAAAAGUGUGACACCACAUGAGUGAUAUUUGAAGUUUUUCUCCAGAAAAAAUCAACGAACUAGAAAAGGCCAUUGUUCAAGCAUACAGAAUGUUUUAUGUCAUAAAACAUAUAAUAUGAUAAUGCAUAAUAAAUUAGAUUUUGAUUUUAAAGCCUGGAAGGCUGUACAAGAAUCAAGUGCCCACAAAGCGAGAUUCAAAUUUUAGGGUUUUUCUUCUGCAUCUUUCUUCCUCGUGGGUAGCAGGAUAUGCCAUUGAGUUGGAGCUUUCACUCUUAAUUUGUAGUGUUGGUCCCUGGACCACUAGACUUUUGCAGUGCAUAGAUCAAAAUGGAAAAGGAGACGGUCCCUGUCUGCGAGCACGCAUAGGACUAUACGUCAACGCGUCGAACAUGAGCUGGCUCGCUAAAAUAUUAACCUAAAAAUUCUAGCUGGUGUUCGGUUUGUUUAUUAACGAGCCGAACACGAGCUGGCUUGUAAAUAGCAAGUUAGAUUGUCAAUUCUACUACUGGGUGAAAAGUUGAAAAAAAAAAAGAAAUUAGAAUUUUAAUCUAAUGAAUAAAAUUUACAAAAUAUAGGUAUGUUACAUUUGGAUUGGCCUAAAAUCCAAAUAAUAUAAAUUUGUAAUAUAUUCAAGCUUUUUCAGCUCCCGUUCAGCUCAAAAUUCAAGCAGAAAAAAGUGAUAAAAUAAAAAAGUUAAAAGUAAUACAAAACUUAUUUGAAGUAUGGUAUUUUUUGAAAUGGUUACUUAAUCUUUAAGGGUGCGUUUGGUUCGCACUAUGAAAGAUUACUAAGAGUAAAAAGAUAUCCGAGAAUCUUAUUCCUAUUUAUUCUAUUACUAAGAAUGUAGUAUUUCAGUAUUUGGUUCCUACGAUCAUAUUAUUCAGUCAUGUUAUUUAGAGAGAAUGAGAGGGUUGAGAUUUUAGAAAAAGAGGGGGAGAAAUAGCUUAAUUUAGAGAGAGAAAAAGAGUUGAAGUUUAGAGAGAAAAAAAAAAAGUUUAGAGAAAGAUAUGAGGUUAGAGUGUAAAGAAAAAUAAUACCAACUAGCCAGCGGGUGGGAAGAAAAAAAAAAUAGACAUAUUAUAAUUAUUCUAAUCUAUUAAUAUACGGAUACCCACCCUCCCUCAAAGAAAUGAGAUUAGUAUUUUGGGAUGCAUCUCAUUCCCAAGUAAAUCUAGUAUUACCAACUAAAUUACUUAGUGCGCUUAGCCAAAUACCGUCAUAUUUUUUUUAUUCCUAUUGGAUUACUAGGAAUCUUAAAAAGAUAGCGCGAACCAAACGCACCCUAAAAGUUUUUAUUUUAAUCUCUAAACUUCUGAUAUGAACCUACAAAUGACAAGGGCCUUCCAAUUUGAUACCAAGCAGAACAACUGGUUUUCGAAAAAGCUUAAACUUCCGCAGAUCAGCUGUGUUUUAAUAUUUUAUGUUCGACAUAUAUACAAUAAGAAAUUUGACAAAUUCAACGAAGAUCGAAGCAGCUCAGGCGCGCGGUUAAGGACCGAACUGCAAUUCGACAAAAGUUUAGAGGAUUUUGUGCACUCCACCUAGAAAGAUUCUGAGACCUCUGCAGAGUCUUUUCUUUUCUAUGCAAGAGUGGAUCUCCCAUGAGAUCUUCCCCCACCAUAUAUUUGUUCCACUCAAAUGGUGUUUAUAAGAGGGGACCUCUUGUGCAAGUUGUUUUUACCUUGUUUUGAGAGGAGGGGACAAAGAGGGUACAACAACAACAAUACCUUUGGGAAAGGAGAUAAAUUUAUGAGUUACCACUUAGUAAUUGUAUAGUGGUUGUUACUCAGUAUAUUAUAUCUAAAAGAUCGGAAGUUUGAUACCCCAUAUGUGUAUUUCAAUCAUGUGUUAAAUAUAAAAAUAUUUAAACACCGUUCUUUAAUAGCUUAAAUUUUUAGAGUACAAUGAUUGUUUCACAUGGUAUCAAAACAGGAGAUCCUGAGUUCGAAUCACGCCAAGCUCCUAGCAUAUUAAUUUCCUCCCAUUUAAUUCAAGCCUACGUCAUGGGCCGACUAAAAAGUCUUGAGCCCAGACAUGAGAUGGAGUAUUAAAUAUAAAAAUAUUUAAACACCGUUCUUUAAUAGCUUAAAUUUUUAGAGUACAAUGAUUGUUUCACAUGGUAUCAAAACAGGAGAUCCUGAGUUCGAAUCACGCCAAGCUCCUAGCAUAUUAAUUUCCUCCCAUUUAAUUCAAGCCUACGUCAUGGGCCGACUAAAAAGUCUUGAGCCCAGACAUGAGAUGGAGUAUUAAAUAUAAAAAUAUUUAAACAUCGUUCUCUAACUACUUAAGCUUUUAAAGUAUAGUGAUUGUUUCACAUUAUGUAGGCCUCUGAAGGAUUAUGUUGUGUAGGAGGAAAAGGAUUAUAGUAAAUCAAAUGAUGCUUUUAUUUCAAGAAAAAGUACUUGAACUUUGCUUGUUUGUUCGCUCAUAACUGAUUUUCAGAUUGAAAAUGACUUUUAUUUCAACCGAAGCUGUAGAUGAUUUUUUUUUUUUUUUUUUUUUUGAUAACAAGUCGAUGACUUUUGAAUUAUUAUAGAAAACUUGAACACUAUAUAGUACAUAAGAGGGUUAAAAAAAAGAAACUACAACAGCAAAUUUUUUUCAUUAUUGGUUUCAUGUAGAUGAACUCAGUAUCAGUUUUCAAGUUUUGAAAUAUGUGAGUGGAUAAUGCAACUCUUUAUUGACUAAUGCAAUGGCUAUUGGUUGACUUUUUCUUUGGGUGCAUUUCCAGGUAAUGUAAAGUUUAUUAAUUAAUUAGGGCUAAGAUUUAAAAGCAUCUCAAGUAUAGAGGACUUGUAAUAGAAUAAUAAUUGGCAAGAUAACCUCCACAUGGGUUUAUGCUAUUAACCAAUUUGAAAUAGAUUAUGUAAGCACUUAACCAUGUAAUCAAACCCCAUGUGGUUUUUAAAAAUGCUUAGGGAUCACUCAUUGUUUUGUUAAUUGCCUAAUGAUGAAAAAAUAUUACAUUAUUAUUGGUCUAUGAUCAUAGUGAUUUGGUAUUACCGUUGUAGAUUCGAACUCUUUCCUUUCAAAAUUGAAGUUCAUUAAUGUGGUUUUGCUCGCUGUAGUUUCUGCUUAUUAUUUAUUAUUGGACUAAAAUAGAUCCAACUUCCUGCUCCGUGACAAUAGACUCAGGAGACUAAUAAGUUGAGUUGGGUGAGCCUAAUAAAUUUGGUCCACAAGAGACCUAAUAAUAAGAGGCCUAAUAAUAGAUCCAACGUUCAGGUGAGUUGAGUUAGGUCGAAGCCCGCGAACGCUGUGGUUGAGCUCUUAAAUGCGAUGGGUGCGCCCUUCUUAUAAGCACAUUCUUUUGGGAUGGUUGAUUGGCACUUACGGUCCACAGUUUCUACAGAAUAUGUCAUUCAGGAAAAGGUCUGAAUAUAUUUAUUAGAAACGUAUUUGCUGAUCUUCCGAUUAAUAGAAUUAUUUCAAUAGUCAUAUCAAACAGACAAUAAAAAUAGUUGACCUCCAUAUGCUAAAACUUUGAGUUCUACAAGCUCGAUACUGAAAAAAGGCCGAAUUAAUAUAAACUUGAAAUCUAAAAGUUUUCCAACUUAAAUUAUGGAUUUUUUACAUCUUUUUUUAAUCGAAGAACGGCUAUGACUAGAUAGNUAAUCGAAGAACGUCUAUGACUAGAUUUUUUUUUUUUUUUUUUUUUUUUUUUUAAGAAAAGGUUCAUAGACACCCUUUAGACAGGAAUUAAAAUUAUUGUUAGUUCUACCCAGUGUCAAAUUUUAUCAGUUAAUUAACUCGGAAAUUAAUGUUGUAGAACCUGAAGGCUGGUUCUAAAGAGAGUUUCACAAAGGGGGAGCAAUGUCGGAUGUACUAACAUCUCCAAAGUUCAAUGUUUAAACUAUAAGUAGGCUUAAUUUGGGAUUAUGGGAAAAAACACCUUAUAUGUGGCGAUAAAAAAAUAGUUUUUUUAAAAAAGUUUCGUGUCUAAAUUAUACGUUUUGUAUAUCAUAAUAAGUUGAUUACGAGCAGUCUCAUCAGAAACAAAAAAAAGUUAUGUUAUUUUAUGCUUUUCACUAGAAAACGAAGAAAUAUAUUUACGUACACUUUUAUCCCAGCUCUGUUUUGCCUACCAGUGUUAGGCUACGUUUGGGAUUGCGGGAAGAUUGCGUUACGAGCGGUGAAAAACGAUAUUGUUUUCGUACGUAAUAUUGCGUUCCGCAUAUUACGGUUAGUCGGUUACGAUAUAUUUUCUAUGAUCCCAUCAGAGAACGCAGAAGCAUAUCCCUAUAUGCUUUUCUCAACUCUAUUCUAUCUGAUAGUGUUAGAUUGACUCCAAUACCAAACUAAGCCUUAGUCGGCCUCAAAUUACAGAUCUCUUCUUUGUGGCCUCAUAUCCAUUAGCCUAUGAGCCAAUUAUCUUCAUGGGCCAGAUAAUAUAUUGGGCUGUUGAGAGUUUUUAGUAGGGCUUAGGGCAUGUUUGGUACGCCGGAAGUGAGGGGCCGAAGCCCGACAAAGCGAUAAUAUGUUCGGAGAAAAUGGUUUAUUCUCAACCUCACCGUAGCAGGUGAUCCUCUAUGUAGAGGUUGCAUCACAUCAGCUAUAUAUAUCUUAAGCCAAUUAAACUUCUUCAUUUCAGAAAAAAGUAUGAUGAGUCGAUAAAUUCUAUAAACAUAAUUUGAUUGGCUGAAGAUACGACGACGAAGUGUUACUAUCAUAGUUUAUACUUUUUCUCCACACGAGACUCUGAGAGCGCUAUAGAUUGGCCUUUUGAAAUACCAAACAUCGAUCAUAAUCUGGGAGCGCUAUGGAUUGGCUUUUCCAAGUACCAAACAGCCGCUUCUAUGAUGAGUUGAGAUCCCUAUCACUCUAACAUAUACUGUAUACAACAAAUAUCUAGAUCUCUUAUUUGCCCUCCCCACAUUUUCUAGUGCACAAAGUUUUUUUUUCACAAUAAUAAUUGAUUUUAUGCUCUAAGUAGGAAAAAUAAGAAAGGUUUCUUGAUAUGUAUGUAGUUAAGAAACUUAUAACUGAUUUCUUUUUUAUUUUUAGUUUUUGCAUAUCUAAUAUUCUUUUUUUCACACACACACACACACACACACACACACACACAUAUAUAUAUAUAUAUAUAUAUAUAUAUAUAUAUAUAUAUAUAUAUAUAUAUAUGGAGUUUGAUUGGACAACUAUCGAUAGUAAACUGCUCGGUUUACUACCGAUUUUAUUUUUGAUGAUAGAGCUUCCAAAUCGACGAUCGGCACCGUUGAAUAUGAUCUAGACCAUUUAAAUUAUCUAGAAAUAAAAUUUCAUGACACUGAAUGAUCAAAGGGUCACAAAAUCUAUAAUUUUAGUAGCCGAUAUGGUGCGUUUGCUCGUUUAACGGUAUAGAAGAGUUCAAAUCAACUAAAUUUUUAUUAGAAAAUUCUUUAAACUAUUUAAAAUAAGAUCUAGACUCUAGAUUUCAAAUAUAAAAAUUAUAUCAUCACUUUUUGAAAAAUAUUCAUUUUCAGCCGUNCUUUUUCUCGAAAUCCGUGCAUCCAAAUCCAAUUCCGUCAGUGCCUUUGGGUCCAGGAUAGUCGAGCGGUUGAAAACGAGCUAUUGGAAGGCUAUAUUCGGAGUCCGAUACACGUCGAAAGUCCACUUUACUCCGCGGCCUCUCCGGAAAACCGGAGUUACUAUUCACUUAAGUCAGACUUCCGGGUCGCGUAACUUCUCCGUUUUAACUCGUUUUCUCCUGAAAUUUGACGAGUACACUUAUAAUUAUAUUACACACAAGAACAUCGUCAAACAAAAGGGUUUACUCAAUAAAUCAAAAAUCUCAGUUAUUACAAAAAUAAAUUUAAAUAUUAAAGUUAAGACCAAAUAUAAACUCUUAGCUAAGCUCUCCACUUUCGGUGACUUCCGAAUUUUUUGAGCCAAAGUAAAAAAAGUGAGAUUUAAUUAUAACUCACUUUAUCAGCCCACUUUCGUAAAUUAACUUUUAUAUUCACUUUCGUAAACCAAACAACUGAUAAGAUGUUACUUUCUAAAAGUAUCACUUUCGAUACUAUACUUUCGGCGAACCAAACAUGCCCUAAGAGUAAUUGAAAAUUAAGUUCCAAAUUAAUCAAAAAUCAUAUACAAGCUAGCAAUUAAGAAGCUAACCUUUUCAAGUUCGAAGCUAAGCCUACUUCUGAGCUAGGAUUGAAAUUAUAUCCUCAGAAUAUCUCCUUCUUCACUUCCACCACUCCUCCAAGAAUCUCAAAACCAGCACCAUAGAGAGGAUAGAAGGAAAGAGCUCAAUUCCAUCAAUUCCCACCAAAAUUGGAAAAAAGCCUAGAGAGAGAAAGAGAAGAACUCACCCUGUGUGUUCCUUGCUUCCAGCAUGAGAAGAACACCAGCUGAUGCAGUACUGGUAUUCAGCCCCAGUACCGGUACUCACCGAGUCAGUACCGGUACUCAACACCUAACCUCUCAACCCGAGAGCUACCCAUUCUGGCAACUCUCUUGGAUACCGGUACCCCACUCAGGUACCGAUACUCAACACUCAAAACUUGCAGUUUGCCAAUUUUAGUGUCGGUAAUCCGUUCUCACACUCAUAAAGCUUCAGUUAGGUGUCAGUACACUAUCAGCAACCCUCAAAUUAACUAGAAUAGUUAAUUUCAUAUACUAUUCUCAUACUAGAACAUUACAAUUUGUUAAAGUUCAGUGUAUUACACAAAGGGUUAAAUCUAACGGCGAAAAACUUGAUAGCACCAAUUGUAAACGUUUGGUGCUAUCGAUAGUAUUCCAGCCGGACUCUAUAUAUAUAUAUAUAUAUAUAUAUAUAUAUAUAUAUAUAGAUUGGGUGAUUUUGCCUUAGAAAAUGAAAUUAUAAUUUUAUUUUUUUUCUUUGUUUAGCGGACAGAUAUAGCUAGAUAAAAUAAAAGGGAUAAUUACACUUUUUGUUGUUCCCAAACUAUGACAUUUUCGUUUUCAAUUUUUGAUUUGUCAUAAUUUCUUACUCUAAUUUUUUAAAUUAUUGCAAUUAAAUAAAUGCUACAGUUCAAUUCAGUUGAUUAAAUAUUAAUAAAUUAUUGAUAUAGAAACAAUGUGAAAAUGUUGUAAUUGAUGGUACGACAAUACUUCAGAUGCUACAUUAUUGUUAUAUCAAUAAUUUGAUGAUAUUUAAUCAACCUAAUUGAAUUAUAGAACUUAAUUACAGCCGGUUGAAAAGUUCGAGUCAAAAAUUAUAAUAAAUCAAGUAUAAAAACCAGCGUGUCAUAAAACUAAUAAUUUGGAAACCAAAAAUAUAAUUUACUUUAAAAUAAAAUAAAAAAUGCUAAUUCUACCAUCCGAAAGGAGUUGUAGGAUUAUAACUCUUGAUCCAAGAGUUGCAAUUCCAACUUUUAUUAGGAUUUAAAAAAUUCUUCAUGGAUUUUAAUAAUACAAAAACAGUGAGUGAUAGGAAUAGUAAAGAAUUAUCAAUCCUUGAAUGGUGGAAUUGUAAAAUGUACAAUAAGAAAAAAAAAAUUAUAGAACUAGCGUUGCUUAAAUAAAAAUUAAUUUUUUGAAAGAUGAAAAUCAAGAAAUAUUAUGACUGUCACAAAUCAAUCAAACUAUUUUCGAGUUUAUCCCUUCAAUCAUAAUUUUCUAAAAUAUUUUUUUAUUAUAUCUUCUAAAAAGAGAAAGUGAUUGGCCGGAUAUAUUGACGAUGUAAUUCACUGCCACCUAGUAAACUUCCUCCCCGCAGGGUUGAGCAUGAGAGUGGUCAUUUAAGGAAGGUUUUUAGGGGAAUCAUUAUCAACAAAUAAUAAUAAUAAUAAUAAUAAUAAUAAUAAAUUAUAAAAGAAUUUUUUUAAGACUUAGUUUGGUAAGCACGUAGGUAUAUAUUUUUGUAUUUUUCGAUGAGACCGCAUUGUAGCUGGCUUAUCGUGAUAUAUAGAACGUAAUAUUACGUACGAAAAUAAAUAAAAUAUUUUUUUUAAUCGUAUUUUUUCACCGCACGUAAUUUUUUCAUAAUCCAAAACAAAACAUAAAUCUAAUGAUAAAAUAAAUAUUAAAAGGAAAAAUAAUCUGAAGAGUAAUAAUAAUAAUAAUUUACAGAAAGCGAUGGAGGCGUACCUGGACCGAAUGCCUUGCUUGCAAACGUGCUAAUCACCACCCACCACUAACCAGUAACCACUCGUCAAUCACCGAUCACCUUCUUCCUGCUCCUCCUCCGCCAUGGCCGACGAGCUCGGCAAUGGCGAUCGGGCCCCCUCGGCGUCGGAGCCUCUGCUGUCGGGUCGUCGGGCCUGGCUCCGGGUGCGGUGGCCGUCGGCGGCGAGGAGCUUCGCGCUGAAGACGUCGGUGUGGUCGGAGCUGGGGGGGGCGGUGGGGGACCUGGGCACCUUCAUCCCCAUCGUGCUGGCGCUCUCCCUCUCCUGCGGGCUCGACCUGGGCACGGCGCUCGUCUUCACGGCGCUCUACAACGCCCUCACCGGCCUCCUCUUCGGCCUGCCCAUGCCCGUCCAGCCCAUGAAGUCCAUCGCCGCCGUCGCCAUCGCCUCCUCCCCGCCGCUCCCCCUCCCCGCCAUCGCCGCCGCCGGCCUCUCCGUCGCCGCCGCCCUCUUCCUCCUCGGCGCCUCCGGCCUCAUGUCCUCCCUCUACCGCCUCCUCCCCCUCCCCGUCGUCCGCGGCGUCCAGCUCUCCCAGGGCCUCUCCUUCACCUUCUCCGCCCUCUCCUACAUCCGCUUCCUCCAACCCUUCUCCUCCCCCUCCAAUUCCCUCUCCUCCUCCUCCUCCUCCUCCUCCUCGGACCCGCGCCCAUGGCUAGGGCUCGACGGCAUCGUCCUCGCCCUCUCCGCCCUCCUCUUCCUCCUCCUCACCACCGGCGCCGGCGCCGACGACGACGACGAUAGCCGCAGCGGCGAUAGCCGCACUCGCGGUCGCGGUCGCGGUCGCGGUCGCCGCGCGUGCGCCCUGAUCCCCUCCGCGCUCAUCGUCUUCCUCCUCGGCCUCGCGCUCUGCUUCGUCCGCGACCCCUCCGUCCUCGCCCAGAUCAAGCUCGGCCCCUCCCCGCUCCGCGUCGUCCGCAUCACCUGGGACGACUUCAAGCUAGGGUUCUUCCGCGCCGCGAUCCCGCAGCUCCCGCUCUCGAUCCUCAACUCCGUGAUCGCCGUGUGCAAGCUCUCCGCCGACCUCUUCCCGGAUCGCCCGGAGGGGCCCGUCUCCGUCGCCGCCGUCUCCGUCAGCGUCGGCGCCAUGAACCUCGUCGGCUGCUGGUUCGGCGCCGUCCCCGUCUGCCACGGCGCCGGCGGGCUCGCCGGGCAGUACCGCUUCGGCGGCCGCAGCGGCGCCGCCGUGCUCUUCCUCGCCGCCGGGAAGCUCCUCCUCGGCCUCCUCUUCGGCGCCUCCUUCGUGCGCAUCCUCCGCGAGUUCCCCGUCGGCAUCCUCGGCGUGCUGCUCCUCUUCUCCGGGAUCGAGCUCGCCAUGGCCGCGCGGGACGUGUCCGGCAAGGAGGAGGCCUUCGUCAUGCUCGCCUGCGCCGCCGUGUCCAUGGCCAGCUCCGGGGGCGCCGCCAUGGGCUUCAUCUGCGGGCUCGCCGUGUUUGUGGUGCUGCGGGUGAGGGAGGUGGAUUGGCUCGCCCUCGUGGCGAAUUUCAGGAUCCCCGGAUUUGGCGGCCGCAACGGGAGAAGGGCACCGGCGCCAACGGCGGCGACUCCAAAAGCUGAGGAGGCCGGCGCAGAUGCGUGAUAUUACGCGUAUCUAUGAACGCAUUCGAAAAUCUUAUUGAUAAGCCAGUAUUUUAUAUAAUAUUUCGAAUAUGUUUGCAGUCAUCUCUUUCUAUCAUGUUCUGUAUAAAAUUUGCUAGACCAUCAACAACUUUUUAAAAUAGUUUACUAUUUUUUUUUUUUUUUUUUAGAGAGAUAGCAUGUUAUCCGUUUCGUUUAUUUCAUUGUAGAAAUAAAUUUAGCUGAAAAUAUGAAUUAAUUAGAAUUCGAAUUUGGGAUCUUGAAUACCAACCAUCAAAUUUUUUGUCACUUACUUAAGGAACGAUCACUAAAAUAGUCUUACUAUUGGUAUGCAAAAUUGCAAAUUUGGAAAGGAAAUAUUUUAGGUUGAACAAAGUCAUUGGCUUUGGACAUCCACCAUCAAUAAUUUGAUAGUAAUUCUAUUGAUGAUAUAACCUUUUCCAUCUAUAUUCAAGUCUCAUUUACUAAGCAAGUAAGGGCAACACUACUUACCUUAAAAUACUCGCUCAUUGUCAUUUAUACAAUACUGAUUUAUGGAUAUAUGGAAAUAAUUUUGGGUAGGUGUUGCAUUACUGCAUCUGCUAUUUCAUAGGAUCCAGACACAGGAGAAUGUGCAGGGCUUAGCUAGUGUUGUAAUGAUUGGAAAUUGUUUCUUUUUUUUUGGAGUGUUACUGUGGCACUUCUGCAAUUAUUGAGAAAGAAAAUAUGUGUUGUAUUGUUUUUUUUUCCCUUUAUAUAUCCUUCUGUUGAGAAGGAGAUUUAUAUUGUGAAAUAUUAAGUGACAUGUACUAUUGGAUUAAGUAUGAAAAUGUUCAAAUACCUAGAAACUAGAGGACAAUCUUAAUACUAUAUAUAUAGAGAGAGAGAGAAUUAGGCUGGAAUAUUAUUAAUAGCACUAAUGAUUUGGUACUAAUAAAUUUUCUAUCCUUGGAUUAAAAUAUGUGCGGUUAGAAUGAUUUGGGCCCCCUAGAGUUGAGUAGGUAGUUGGUUGAAUAGUAUAAUCGAACGGAUAAAAAUGAUAAAAGAGGUAAAUCUAACGGCAGAAAACUUGAUAGCACCAAAUGCUUCGUGCUAUCGAUAGUAUUCCAGCCGGACUCUAUAUAUAUAUAAAGUUCGGCUGAAGUACUAUCGAUAGUACCAAGGAUUUGAUGCUAUCGAGUUUUACACCGUUAGAUUUAACCCUCUGAUUAUUUUUAUCCGUUAAAUUUGAUUUAGAGUAUUUGAAGUACCUAGAAAAUAAAUUUUAUAUUUUUAAGAUAUCAUUUGCCUAGUGAACGAAGGGGCUCAAAAUCAACGGCUGAAAAUAAAAAUCUUACAAAAUGUAAUAAUAUGAUAUUAAAAUUUUAAAUCAAAGAUAUUGAUCUUGUUUUAUAUAGUAUAAAAAAUUUUAUAUCAAAAUUUCACGUGAUUUGGAUAUUUCUACACCGUUAAACUUGCAAACGGCUCACUACGGUCAUUGAAAUUUGUUGAUUUUGAGCCCAUUCGAUCACUAGGCAAAUGAUAUCGAAAAAUAAUAAAAUUUAUUUUCUAGGUACUUCAAAUACUCUAGAUCAAGUUUAACGGAGCCAAUCGACGAUUCGAAAGUCACAACAUCGAAAACGAGCUGGAAGCACGGAAGGCUCCGUGCUUCCGAUAGCAUAGUAGCCUCACUCUAUAUAUAUAUAUAUAUAUAAUUGAGCUCCUAUGCUUUUAAAAGUAUCAAGACAUUGGUACUUAUAGAUUUUUAGCCAUUGGAUUAAGAGAUAUGCGGUUAGGAUGAUAUAGGCAUUCUAGGGUUGAGUGGUUGGUUGGUUAAAUAGUAUAAUCUAAUGGUUGAAAAUGAUCCAUGGAGUAAAUCUAAAGGUAAAAAACUUACAAGCACCAAGUGUUUGGUGCUUUUACAAGCACCAUAGCUGGACUAUAUAUAUAUAUAUAUUCAAAGUCCGAAAUUGAAAGUUCUAAGUUUAAGCACACACAGGAGCUCAAACUCCCGACCUUAAAGUCAUUCACUUGCUAUUUACAAAAAAUAUUCUACUAAGGAAGACAAGUUACAAAAAAUAUUCUAGUAAGGAAGACAAGUUGUAUGCACUGAAGAUGGUGUGGGCAUAUUUGUUUGGGUGGAAAUGGGAUAGAAGUGAGGCCUUUUUGCAUAAAAAAUCCACUUAUUUUGGAUUUUUGCAAAACCGGGCCACCUUUUUNCUGGGGGUCGGGAUCUGGCUGAGGGGGAGAGGAGGAGCGGAGGAGCAGGAGCCGGGGUGGGGAUGGCGGAGGCGGCGGCGGCGGCGGUUGCAUCCUCGCUGCCGCAACCACCUCCUCUUACUCGCUGACGCCGCCUCGUUGCGCCGCCACCACCGCCUCGACCGGGGCUCGAAGCGCCGAAGAGGCGAGCAGCGUCGGGCGCCGGACGCGCCGGAGCAGUUGGUCGCGUCCAGCCGCCGGCGGUUCGGGCUCGAGUUGUCGCGCUCGUGGUGGAGCUCGUCGAGGGAGUGGUAGCGGCUGCUCGAAAGCUGUGGUGGCGGCGCUCUACCCCGACGACCCCGACAGCGACAUGCGGUUGAGGCGGCUCGCAACGCCGCACAUUUUGCAGAGGAGCAGGCUGCCGCGGUAGCCUCGGCGGCGCGUGGCGGCUCCGCCGCCGCCUCCUCGCCGGCACCCCCGGCAGCACUCCACGCCCAGCGGCCCCCCUCGCUCCUCCCACGCCAAGCCCUUGUGCUGCCACUAUCCCUGCUGCGUCCUCCUAAGCUCUCUCUUGCCGCCCACGCCGUUCUUUUUUUUUGUCUUGCUAUCUUUGUCUCUCCUCUCUCUUUCUCCUUUCUCUUUUUCAUUAUUCCCAUAAAACCAGUUCGUCUGCUUUUUCGCCUGGCUUAGACGUUUUUGCUUUUUCCACCGGGCCAAAACGUUUUCGGGUUUUAUUCACCUAAAAAAUACGUUUAACCGGAUAAACUUUAGGUUUAUUUGUUUUAAACUUAUCUAUUUUUAAAAUUUUUUCUUUAUCCCAUCUUAUUUAAAUAUAUGGGGAGUGAUUAAAAGUUAUAAAACCCUAUUUUAUCUAUUAAAAUAAGAAUUGGAAGUAAUAUGAUAUUUUACAUUGAUUCUAAUUUUGUUAAGGUUGAUUACUAUCAUAUAGAACUUCAAAAAAAAUCCUUUUUGAAGUUUUUAGGGGGGACACCAAGGCGUGAAAAAGUAAAAUCAUGGGACACCAAAUUUCACAUAGUUCAAUCAUGGGAUACCAAAGAGUGAAAUAGUGAAAUCAUGGUACACCAAAUUUCACAUAGUUCAAUCAUGAGACACUAAAAUAAAAACAUAGUUCAAUCAUGGGACACCAAAAUAAAAACAUAGUUCAAUCAUGGGACACCAAAGAUUUGGUGUCCCAUGAUUUCACUAUUUCACGCUUUGGUGUCCCAUGGACGCGGUUGAAUAAAGGGCGGGUCCACCACACCUGACCGUUUUUCACGCGACUGAAGCAGUUCGCCAGGUGUUAGUGGGUAUAACGCAGCACCGGGGGACAGCUCGCUCCGUACGGCUGCUGCUUUAGGUAUCUAUAUAGGAGGAUAAAGGUCUGCCCCUAUCCAUCCGAAACUUCGAAAGGGCGACCUUUAACCGUGAGGCGAAAGUGAACGACUGUUCAGUUUGACAGUGCUGGGCGCUGGGGGCGGAUAAACCGGCCUAGCGCCGCGGCGGCUGUCUGGCGGCUUGCCUGUCUCAAAGGGGACAUGCAGGAUCCGCAGCGUUGUUCAUGUUAUGUUUCUAAGGUUGAUCCUUGCCAUGAACCGUUUGUCUAACGUAGUCCUUCCAUAGUUAGUUGUAUUUGUGUAGGAUUCAAUAAUGUAAGUAAGUAAACUGUAAGUAAACGAUUGACUAAAGGAGGUUUAUGUUAGAUCUUAUAAUGUUGAGAAAAAAAAACAGAACGAUAGAAACAGAGAGGAGAGAGAAAGAGGAAAGAGAAAAAGUAAUUAGGGUAUUUUGGUCAGGCGGACGAAAAAGCGGACCGAAUCUGCAAAAACGAAAAAGGUGGCCCGGUUUUGCAAAAGCCCAAAAUAAGUGGAUUUUUUAUGCAAAUUGGCCUAGAAGUGAAGAGGAGGAAAGUCGUUUCGCUAUAAACGAUCAGUUUUGUUGCAGUUUGAUUUGCCGCAAAUAAGUUACGGUUGAAACCCGACUUAACCUGAAACGGCGUAAUUGGCUUCGGCCCAUCGUGGGCUGAAGUCAACUACGAUAAAAAGAAGAGAAGAAAAAAUAAUAAAAUAAUAAACUAAGUAAAGAUAACUAUUUAAAUAUAUUUAAUUAUGGUAUUAAUUAUUAUUUUAUUAAGUUGACAUAUUUAAAAUAUGAUAAAAAUUAAUUAAUUAAUUAUUAAUAUUUUUUACUUUAUAAUUUUAUUGUUGUAUUAUUAUAAUUUAUGUAUAAAAAAUUAUAUAGUUAUUUUAAAUUAAGUUUUAAUUAUAUAAAAAUAUAAUUAUAUUAUUUUUAUUUAUUAAAAUAUUUAUUGUUUAUAUAUAAAUUAUAAUUUUAAAUCGUACACUUCCUACCAAACAAACAGCAGAACUAAUAUAACUACACUUUCAUAAUUACGAAACAAACAGCAAAAAAAAAAAAAAAAAAAAAAAAAUUUCACCAAACUCAACUUCAAUUCAAAGUCCAUUUCAAAUCAAAAAGCUACUGUUGUAAUGAUUGAAAAUUGUUUCCAUUUUUGGAGUGUUAGUGUGGCACUUCUACAAUUAUUGAGAAAGGAAAUAUGUGUUGUACUGUUUUUUUUUUCCUUUUAUAUAUCCUUCUGUUUGACAAGGAGAUUUAUAUUGUGUUGUACAAUAUUAAGUUAGUAGAGCUAGAAUACUUGUAAAAGUAUCACCCAAGUGAUACUUGUGUAUUUUUAGCCCUUGGAUGAAGAGAUGUGAGGUUGAGAUGAUGGUGAUAGGUGAUACUUGUGUGUUUUUAGCCCUUGGAUGGAGAGAUGUGAGGUUGAGAUGAUGGUGGUAGAUGGUGGUAGGUGGAAUAGUGUUUGAUCCAAGGACUAUUAGUAAUCAAAAAGUAGAUCCAAUGGCUAAAAACACACAAGUAUCACUUGGGUGAUACUUGUAAAAAUAUUCUAGCCCUACUCAUAUUAAGUGAUAUGUACUAUCGAUAAGUAUGAAAAUUUUCAUGUACCUAAAAAAAUAAAGGACAAUCUGAAUACUAUACAAUAAGAAGGCAAAGCAUUGCGCAUAAGGCAUGUUUGUUUUAGUAUAAGUAGAGUGAUGGAACUCAAGUUCCAUCACUUUCGUUAUUUAUUUUGGUGUUAAUGAAAAAUAUAAUAUAACUCAAGUUACGUUAGACCUCCAAUUCACCUACUCUCGACUUCUUCCUCUAAAGUGCCGAACUCAACUUCCACCACACUCAACUUCCUCUAAAAUAUUUAUUAAACAGUAAAAUCUAAACUCUACUUCCCUUAUAAUAGAUUAGAAUUACCUUAUUUAUAAUAAAUUAGGAUUAUCUUUAAAUAAUAAAAAAAAAUUAAUUAUAUAAUAAGUUAAAUUUUAUAGCGGUAAAUUUACUAUUAUAUUUAGGAGAUAAUGGAAUCCACUUACUUACAUCAAAAUAAACAACGGAACUCAUAAAACUAAUUUUACCAGCACCAAGUUACAUCAAAACAAACAGAAAAAGUAAUUGAAUUUAACUUUCAGUCUAUACGAGUUACGUCAAAACAAACAACCAAAAAAUAAUCACAUUUCAGAAAAACUCGAACACCACUGUUCUUGACUUACGUUGGAUCUAUAGGUACGUCAAUCCAAACGGACCCUAAAAAUUUUAGAAGAGAGGUUAAUUUCUGCUAGUGUUUUUAUUGUGAGAUUGUCAAAUCCCCACGAACACCACGGGUCACAACUAGGAGUGCUUAAUGGGUCUACAAAUAAAGGAAAAAUUAUUCAAAUUUUCAAUAAUUUUCUUAAAAAACCAUCUAAAACUUAUUUAAUAAAUAUACAACUAUAGUGCGGCCUUUUUUUUGCAUUUGGCACUCUCAAAAUAUUUUUUUUUUUACAAAUAGCUCCAUCAAAUUUAUAAUUGCAAAUUUGGUCCUAUCCCCGCCACGCAGGUACCACGUCAGCGUCAUGGUUUUAAGUUGAAUAUGGUGAAUUAUUCACCGUUUUAAGUUGAACAAGGUGUUUAGACACGAUAAAUAGUUCACCGUGCUCAACUUAAUAAACUGGCCUCAAUUCCGCUCACGUGGCGUUGACGCGACGCUUGCGUGGCAGGACUAUGAUCAUUUUUACAAAUAUAAAUUUGCUGAAACUAUUUUUAAAAUAAAUUUUUUUUAGAAGACCAAACACAAAAAAAAAAAAAAAAAAACUCACAUGUACUCUAUAAAAUCCAUGGCGUGGCACGACGCGGCCAGACCGUGCCCAGAUCGGUUUGGAUACGAAACCGUGCUGGACGACUGGUUGGGAAAAACAGGCCUGGUCUUGUUUGUGCCGUGCUGGUUCGGCACAGCCCACAUUACACGUUUAGUCACACCUACUUAUGUAAACAGAGAAGAUCUUUUUAGUCCAAUGCUUAUAACAUAGAAAAUAUACAAAAGAUUAAACUAAUCAUAAAUACGACCAAGCCAACUACUUUUGACCUACCCGAUCCGACCCAGCCUCAUAUUUUUUAUGCAUUAAACCCGAGCCCUGUUCAAGAUGAUCGGGCCGAGUUAAGCCCAAGUCAACGUCAGGCCUGUUUGGCUUUUGUUUUCUAGAUCUCGAAGGUUGAACUCGUGAUUCGAAAAAAACUGUCACCGUCAGCAUUAGUUUCGACAUCAUAGCGGUGAAAUUAUCCGAACUCCCACUCCUCGGUGGGGUGGGGGUUGAAGUCGAGUUCGCGAAAUUUGCAAGUUUCCAGCUCUCCAACUUUUCGCUGCCAAAUAAUCUCUUAUUAGUGAAAGAGUCAGAGCAGCUAACCUGACCUAAAAUUACUAGGACUGGAUUAAACCUAAACUUGUCCGAUCCAAAUUGAUUAACUGGCUAUGUUAGAUUAAGCAAAACUGAAUCCUAACCUGAGCUUAAUCCAAUGUGAACCAAUUCAACAUAUAUAUUACAAUAUUAGAAAAGUAAAACAUUAUUGUAACAGUGUACCUCUAUUAUCCUACUUCUAUCCUUCUCAAAAGAGAAUCAACAUUCUAUUACAUUUAAGGCACCCAAUUGGGUGACCCGCCACAUCGAGUCCCUGCGAAGAUAUUUUUUUUGGUCAAGCAGAAGCAAACUACCAAGCAAAGGGUGUCUAUUUGUCUGGAAAAAUGUUUGUAUACGCAAGGAUCGAGGAGGGUGGACUUGGGAUUCUUGACCUAACCAUCUUGAACCAAGCUCUUUUAACCAAAUGGUGGUGGAAAUUCCACACCGAGCCCCAACUCCUGUGGAACAAGAUCAUUCACACCUUGUUCUAUCAACGACGAAGACCCCUGAAAGAAGGUCGAACCUUUAGACCGUACUCCUUUUGGUGGAAGGGAGUUCUGUGCCAGAGGGAUAUCAUUAGAUGGGGAGUUUCUUACAAGCUAGGUGAUGGGAAUAAUAUCGAUCUCUGGUUGGACCGAUUGUGUGGGGAUUCCACUCUACACCGAUCAUUUCCAGAGAUUUACGGAUUAUCGACCCACAAAUACUUGAGAAUCAGUGACUGUCUGACUCGCGAAGGAUGGGAUUGGACCAUGUUUCCUUCCGAUGACAAUAGGAAUGGGCACGGGUUGGGUCCCACCUUGACUGAAUUUAGGGAUAGAAUUUCCGUCUUCAAACUUGAGCACGGGCUAGAUAGAGUACUCUGGCGAUAGAGCCAUGAUAGCGGAUUCACGGUAAAAUCGACCUACGUCGCGUUAAGUGAUGGGGGUACAAGGGAUACCCGAGCGUGAAAGAUUUGGCAACUGAAAAUCCCCCUCAAAGUAAAAGUGCUUUGCUGGCUCAUCCUUAAGAAGAGACACCCAACCGCUGAUAAUCUCACCAGGCGAGGCUGGUCGGGAAACACUGCUUGUGUGAUAUGUGGAGGUGAAGAGGAAACUGUUCAUCACUUAUUCUCUCGGUGUGUUUUUGCUAGAUUCCUUCGGGUGGCGACCUCUGAGACUGUCCAACCUUCGAACUUGGGAGAGGACGUGCUUUCUCUCUGGGACAGACGGUCGGCUAGGCCGGGUGGCCAAUCGACGAGGACCAGGCUAUCCACACUAGCUGCAGGAUGGUGGGUCAUUUGGGAAGCACGGAAUGGAGUAAUCUUCCGAUCGGUCCCUCCUAACCCGAGCCUUCUGGUGCAUAAGAUCUCGUUGUUGACAAACUCGUGGGAGCAGUCCGACCCUGGAUAAUCCUCUUUUUUUUUUUUCGCCCUUUUAGAGGCCUUACUGCCUCACCUAUAUAGUUUAAUUCAUUGUUCCAAUGAAUGAAGCGGGUAGCAUGCUACCUUUUCCUCAAAAAAAAAAAGAAAAGAAAAAACAUUCUAUUUACUCAUGAUCUAGAGAAUAAUAAGCAAAGUCCAGCUUAUCAAGUGAACCCAAGUUUAACCCAACCUAAACUUAGCCCGAAUCCAAGACACAAUUGGCUCGGUUGAAUUGAUUUGUUGAUUGGAGUUUUUUUAUACUUAUGCUGCACCCUCUACUAAUUAAAGACUCUCUCCAUGCAUGGAAAUUAACCAUUCCUAUUAAUUAAAUAAUCCCCGCAUAUACAAGAGAAGGAUCAUAUUUAUAUUACGUACUCUCAUGCCGCGUAAGCAACUGCUUCUGCUUUCAUCUGCAGCUAUCUCUAGUAAAGUUUUCGCAAAACCAAAGAAGUUUGGAUCUUCAUUCGCGGAAAGGGGAAAAAAAUAAUCUCAGGUCUAAGAGUGUGUAUAGUAGCUCUAAUUCUGUUGUAAAGAACAGUUGUAUGUAUAGUGCUUCUCAUAAUUGCACUACUCUGUCCAUUAAUUCAAAAAAUAUAUAUAAUAAUAAGAAGAAGAAUAAGAAUAAGGGCAUGUUUCCAUUAAUUCAAAAAAUAUAUAUAAUAAUAAGAAGAAGAAUAAGAAUAAGGGCAUGUUUAAAGUAUAACUAUGCUAUGGGUGUAAAAAAAAUAUCCUAAUGUUUGGAUCCUAAAAAACUAUACCCUAAAAAAUAGGGUAAAAGUAACAUUUUACGCUAUUUUUUGGGCCUCGUCGCGUGACUUCCUCUCGUCUCUCUCCCUCCCGUUGCCCUCUCCACGGCUUCUUCCAUUGCUGUUGCUGCUCUCACCUCAGUCGCUGCCGUCGCCGCCGAUCCCGCGGAUCUCAGCCGCCGUUGUCGCCGCCCCGGCGGAUCUCGGCCGCCGCCGCCCUCGCGGAUCUUGGCCGCCGCCCCCCGCGGAUCUCGACUACUGCCGCCGAUUUGAAUCUCGGCCGCCGCCGCCGCCCCCGCGGAUCUCAGCCACCGUCGUCGCCGCCGCCGCCGCCGCCCCCACAGAUCUCAGCCACCGUCGUCGCCGCCCCCACGGAUCAUGACCGCCGCCGCCACCGCCGCCCCCGCAGAUCUUGGUCACCGCCCCCCGCGGAUCUCGACUACUGCCGCCGAUUUGAAUCUCGGCCGCCGCUUCCGCUGCCCCCGCGGAUCUUGGCCACCGCCCCCCGCGGAUAUCGACUACUGCCACCGAUUUGAAAUAGACUCUACAACUUCAAGUUUAGGGAUGGAUCCAAAAUAAGAUGGAUUGGGUAAAGGGUUUCAAUAAGAUGGAUCAGGGUAAAGGGUUUCCUCUCCCACUCGGUUUAUUUUCAGAUUGGGGUAGAUUCAAGCCGCCGCCACCGCCGCCCCCGUGGAUCUCGGCUACCGCUGUAGUCACGAUCUCGGCUAAUUUUCUAAAUUUUAAUUUUUAAAUUUUAAAAUUAAAAUUAUUUAAUAGUUAAUAAUUUAAAUUUAAAUUUUAAACUUUUAUUUUAAAUUUUUAUAUUUUAAAGUCAUUUAAUAACUAAUAAUUUAAGUUUAAACUUCCAAGACUAAUUUUUAAAGAUUAUCAGAAAUCCUGUAGAAUUAUAUAAUAUAUAUCCAAACAGCUUUUAAAAUAAAUCCGUGGAAUUUUUUUAAAGUUACAGAAUACUCCAUUUCAUUUGGACCAAAAUUACGGUAUUUAAACUCCAUGAAAUUUUUUUAUUGCUCAUCCAAACAGGGCCUAAUAAUAAUACUAUUAAUAACAUAGAUCUUCAUUAAAAUAUUACUACACCAAAAAUCAGGCCAAAUUAGGGAUGCAAAUGGGGCGAAUCUGGGGGCGGGAGACCCGCCCCGCCUCCCGCCCUGACUAGCAAAAUUCCGCCCCGCCUCCCGCCCCGAAUUCGUGACGGGUUAAAAAAUACAUCUCAUAAUUCGCCCCGCCUCGUAACCUGCCUCCCGCUGGCGUCCCGAAUCCGCCCCGUCAACUAAUAUUUUUUAUAACAUUAUAAUAUUAUUAAUAUUUUGUAAAAUAUAAAUUAAUAAUUUUUAAUAAUAUUAUAUAUAUAAUUUAACAAUAUUAAUUAUAAAAAUAAAAAAUAUCAAUUACAAUUCAAAACAAAAUUUAAAAGUUUCAAAUAUAUUAGAAAUGAGAGUACUAAUUUAUUUGUAUUUUGAACUUUUUUGUAAAUACAUUAUUUUUUAGAAAUAUUUUUUAAAAAUAUAAAUGAUUUUCGGGGUCGAUUCGGGGCAGAUUCGGAGCGGAUCAUGGCGGGGCGGAUUCGGGACGGAUUCGGAACGGGUCAAAAUUUCUUCCGUUUCCUGCCCCGAAUCCGUCUUGGAUCAUAAAAUUUGCCCCGUUUACCUCCCGAAUCCAUUUAUUUUCUCCCAUUUACUCCCCGUAGGGGCGGAUUGGGGCGGGAGCUCCACCAAUCCGGAUCCAUUUGCAUCCCUAGGCCAAAUAGAUAUUUAACACAGCAGCAGCAGCGCAUCUGCAUGUGAGUAUAAGUUGGAGGUGGGUAAAUGAAUGUUUGAAUCGACAUGAUCUCACUACAAUCCACAAACCUUAUCUAAUGAGAAUAAAAAUAUUAGUUAUGCUCGCGACUACUAGCUGUAUACUACAUUUUUAAUCUUUCCUAAGAUUUAAUUAAAAACUUAAAUUGCUUCCAAGAAAUUACAAAUCAUUGCAGACGCAAAUCGAUCUACGAAGCAAAUUAACCUCUUUUUUUUUUUUUAAAAAAAAUAUAGCACGUUGUCUGCUUCAUUCAUUUCGAAAAUGAACUUAGCUACAAAUAGUGGGACAACAUAGCCUCAAAAAGAAAAAUAAAGAUCAAAGAAAAAAAAAGAAAGAAAAAUAACAGUAAAAGUAAUCGACAGGUUAUUCAGCUUAAUAAAAGUCCCUCAACUCUCUUACCAAUUCCUUGAUACGCCCAGGUGGAGAGGGUUGGCAAAGUGGUUAUUAAAAAUCGCGUUAUUUCUUUCCUUCCAGAUUAGCCACCAGCACGCUGCUACAGUAAUCAGAUCCUGCAGAAUCUCCCCCGACUUAAUAUUUUUUAUCAUUUUACUCCAUACGUCCUCCACCGUUGGGGGUUAAGGGGUGGAAUAAUCCCUUAACCCCUAUAUUAUCCCCAAAUAUCUCCAAAAAUGUGUAGAGUUAGCUAACCCUACCUCAAAUGGGUUAUUCCGGGUUAACUAACCCUACCUAACUCCACAAAACUCCAACCAAACACUAUUUUCUAUUCAAAAUAACCUACUAUUCUUCUUAUCCCAGCUAUUCCAACCAAAUACUAUUUUUCACUAUCCUGAACUAACUCCAACCCCCAACCAAACACAAAAAUACUCUAACCCCACCUAAACCCUGAACUUAAUUCUAUUUCUGGAAUAACUAGUUUUUCUUUAACCCCGAACCAAACAAUAGAUGUCCUCUAAGAUUAAAAAACUUAACUCAAUACACCUCUAAAGAGAAGCACAAGCCAAAGAUCCCAAACUGCUGGGAAAAGAAGCAGACGCACAACCCAUCUCACGUGGGCCAGAUUUAAUUUAUACAUGCAAAUAUUAAACCACCAAACGCAAAGAAAACGUGGGGUGUGGGGUCUUGUGACUUGUGAGUAAAUAAAUAGUUUAAGUAGAUAAGAUAAAUAAAUAAAUUAAUAUAUAUAUAUAAUAAUAAUUAUUAUUAUAAUUAUAAAACCCAUUCUUCUAGAUGUUCAACGUGGGAAAAGCUAAUUUUAGUUGCGGUUCGAAGAAGCUGCUUCUACUAUUAUUAUUAUUUUCUCUUUCGCAUUCAAUGAGAACAUGCAUUUGUUUGUUACGUAAAAUGUAAUGUAUUUAUGAUCUUAUUCUAAUGCCAAUAAUAUCGUUUACCUUGACCUUCAUAUCAUCGUUUGAUCUUUGGAUAAUUGGAUGGGUACUUUGGUGGUAGUUAUAAUUAAAAGAUAAAAAAGAAAUUUUGUAUGGACUCUUCUUUUUCUUUGCACGAAAAAAGUUUGACCUUUUCUCGUAGAACUUUUGACCUCAAGGUUAUAACUAAAACGCAUGUUUAAAGUUUUUUUUUUUAUGUUGGGUGGAGAUUUUUUUGAGUGUUGGGUGGAGAUUUUUUCUUUUUUUUUUCUUUCAAUAUAACAAUUAUUUUAUAUAAAAAUAAUAGUGUCGAGUCAAAAGUUGCCAUUUUGUUUAGAAGUAAAAAAAAAAAAAUUAUUUUUUUAUGUUGUUGUGGAGUGAAAACGUAUAAAAUUUAUUUGAACUAUAGAUCAUUUUAAAUUGAUUGUCUAAUUUUUUAAACUUUUGAUUUUACCAUCCAACCUUUCAAUUUAUUUAAUUUGAGUCAGCCAGUUUAACCGCAUUUAGACAUCAAAAUUUAAACUAAUUACUUAAGUAAAUUUAUAGUUACGAGAAUUGAAUGAAAUAUAUAUAUAUAUAUAUACUAAUUAAAUUCGUAAAGAUAAACAACACAUUUCAAACUGAAUCAAAUCAAAUAAAUUGAAAGAUUGAAUAGUAAAAUCAAAUUUUAAAAGACUGGAUAGUCAACUCAAAUCUUUUUAUAAUUUAAGUAAGUUCUGUACAUUUUUUUUUCUUUUUUUUUUUAAUAAGACUCUUCAUCAUUUUAUGCGGCUAAAUAUGUUUUUGUUAGUUAUAGCUCCUGCUUAAAUUAAACCACUUCUUGUGACAUGUACUUUUCCAUUUGCAAAAUAACUUAAAACAAGAAUUGAAAAAUAUAUAGAGUCAAAAAUGCUUCUAGAAUUUCCGUACCUUAGUAUCCGAAAUUUCAAGUUUAAAACAUAAUUGUUUCGUAUUUCUAGCUGAAUUCAUUUCUAAACAAAAUGAAAGAAGCAAAAAGCUUAUUUUUGUUCUCUCUCAAAACAAAAACUAAUUAAAAUCAACAAAAUAUCACAUUUAAAAUUCAGAAGGAUUUAAUUAAUAAAAAUUGCUACAAUUUUUUUUCUUUUUUUAGAUGACAUUAUCUGAGUAAUACUCUUGCCGAAGCUUUGUAAAAAUAAGUUGACCUUCCAACCCUUUCUAAAUACCAAAAAGAGAGAUAAAAAGAAACAAAAAAAAUCCUAAUAAUGCACAAAAAAUAAUUAUUUAAAUUUUACUUUACAAAAAAUGUAUCAUCCAAUUAUCAAAGAACUAAGAAAUAUUCCACCAAUUAAUAAUGUUAUCAAAAAUCAAAAGCUUUAUGAUUCACGCGUUGCUUUCCACCCAACAACCCCCUCAUUGUUUUUUUGUUUUUUUUUUUUUAUAAUUUUGCACAUGACCUCCUCUUAUAAAUAAAUACUAUAUAUAAUAUUUUAAUCCCAAAAAAAAAGAGAACACAGUGUGACCCGUGUGCUUCUAGAAGAUGGUCCCACAUGUCAGUCUCACAAAAUUUGCCAUGCAAUAAUCAAUCAUCUAACUCUUCCCUGAACUAUUCUGAUAUUGCAAUUUGGUCCCUACAAUUUUUGAUCUAUAUAUAUGAUGGUGUGGGUUAAAAAGCUGAAAGUGAAAAUACUAUUCAUCUACUAUUAAUAAUACUCUAGCUGUAUUUCCUAUACUAUUAAUUAAUAGUUAAUUAUUAAUGAGCUUCUGUAAAAAUUUUAUGUCUCACAUAAUACAAUACAUAAAAUGAAAAAAUCAUUAUAGAUGAGCUAUCUAAAUUUUAUCACUAUAAAAAUUUCAUAUCUGCAGUAUCACAGAGCUCUUCACUAGUUCAAUAAAAAAAAAAAAAAUUUAACCACCUGUAGUUAGCACUUAAAAUUUUUUUUUUUUGAGAUAAAAAUAGUAUUUUACUAGUGCUUCAUUCAUUAAGAAAGUAAAUUAAGUAACAUGAUAAAACAGCAAGCAAGGCUUCAAGAAAAAAUAAAAAACUUUAAGUGCAAUAAACCUUUCGCUGAUCCCUACACGAGCGUGUAUCCACCAACAACUGUCACAGCGUACCCUUUUUUUUUUCUCAAUGAUUCUUCUAUUUCGCUCCAGCCAAAUAGCAUUUUGAGAUUCUAAGAUCAAAACCGAAUUACUUUACGUCCAAAGAGCAAAGAAACCGAAUUACGAUAUCAUAAUAGUGCAGGGACUAUCCCCACAUUUCACCCCCAAACUAGAUUCGCAUGUUUUUCCCUAAACAAUAAAUAAAUAAAUAAAUAAAAGCCCUAGAAAGUCAACACAACUAUAGUAGUCCAUUUUUGACCGUUGGCGUUACGCUUUGUAUUCAAACCGUAGACCAUUCAAAAACAUUCCAACCUUUACGGGCUCUCUCUAACGUGCGCCGUGCGCGUUUCUCUCUCUCUCUCUCUCCCCCCCCCUCCCUUUUAAAAACUCCUCACUCCAACAUUCCCUCUCAUUAGCGGUAGUAGUACCCAUUCUCAUCUCAACCCCUUGAGAGAGAGAGAGAGAGAGAGGAAAGAAGAAGCCCUCUCGAUUCAAUCCCCAAGGCCUCAAAAAUCCCUUCUUUUUCGUGUUGAUUCCAUCGUUUUCAGAGAGAGAGAGAGAGUGAGAGAGAGAGAGAGAGAGAGAGGAAAGAAGAAGCUCUCUCGAUUCAAUCCCCAAGGCCUCAAAAAUCCCUUCUUUUUCGUGUUGAUCCCAUCGUUUUCGUAGAAUUUUGAUCUCUUUUUCGAUUCAAAUCGCCUUGGUUUUCAAGAAAAAAAAAGGAGAGUGGACAGAGAGAGAGAGAGAGAGAGAGAGAGAAAAGAACAGCAAUUUUCUUUGCAAUUUCCAUCAAUCUCCUGCAAAUUUGAUCCCUCUUUCGAUUGAAAUCGCCUUGUUUUCGAGAGAGAAGGAGAGUGGAGAGGGGAAAAAACCCGAUUUUUCUGUUUUGAUCUCUUUCUCACCUUAGAGAGAGUAAAGAGAGCCUCUUCAAUUCAAUCCCUGAAGCUUCAAAAUCUCAAAAAAGGGGGAAAAAAACCUUUUUGUUUGGGUGUUAAUUAAAGUUGAUCUUGUUUGGGUUGAAGCAGUAAAGAUUUGAUAUGGAGACAGGCGCGGAGGGGUAUGGGAUCGCGAGCCUGCGGAUGAACAGCUCGUCGAUCUUCCAGCGGGGCGCGAGCUCCUCGAUCUUCCGGCGGGGGGACGACGUCUUCUCGAUGUCGUCGCGCGACGAGGAUGACGAGGAGGCCCUCAAGUGGGCGGCGCUCGAGAAGCUGCCGACCUACAGCCGGAUGCGCAAGGGGAUCUUUUUUGAUGAGGGGAUCCGCAAGGAGAUCGACAUCGACAGCUUGGGGUUCCAGGAGAAGAAGAAGCUGCUCGAGAGGCUUGUUCACGUCACGGAGGAGGAUAAUGAGAGGUUCCUGUUGAAGCUCAAGGAUCGGAUCGAUCGGUGAGGAGUUCUACAAUUUUUUUUUUCUUUUAUCGUCUUGAUCCAUUAGUGGAUUUUACUUAGAUUUUGGUUAUGUUCAACUAUCAAUCCUCAAGUUUUAGGAGCAAAUUAAAACCGCGCAAUAAGGUUAAGGAUCCACCCCAGUGGGAGUAACCAUCCCUUAGAUUAUGUUGUGGCAAUUAUGUUUUGAUGAAGCCCAACAUAUAUUUGAUGAAAUUCCUGUAUGAAUCUUCAGAGUCGGACUCGAUUUCCCGACGAUUGAGGUGCGGUACGAGCACCUCAACAUCGAGGCUCUUGCUUACGUGGGAAACAGAGGUCUCCCCUCAUUCCUCAAUUCAACACUCAAUGCUCUUGAGGUACUUUUCUUAUGGGAACCUGUUAAUGCGCAAGUUGUUCCUUUUUCUAUUGAGUUAGUCAUGUUCAAUUCAUCUUGGUUUCUAUGAUUUUAGGCCGUGGCCAAUGUUCUACAUUUAGUUCCGAACAAGAAGAGGCCGUUAAACAUUCUUCACGACGUUAGCGGAAUCAUCAAGCCAAGGAGGUAUACAAAGAAAAAAUUCAUCUUGGAAUCAAGCUAAUUCUUUUUGUUGUUUCCACUGAAAAAAUAUACAAAAAAUAUGAAUUUCAGGAUGACUUUGCUCUUGGGUCCUCCGGGCUCAGGGAAGACCACGCUGCUUUUGGCUCUGGCCGGAAAGCUUAGCUCGGAUUUAAAGGUCGAGAAUUUGGGUUUAUUGAAAAUCUCUUCAAUUUCUUUCCAAUCAACAUCUUGGUCUGAGUUGAAACUCACAAAGAAUCUUCUUUUAUAAUCGAAAAAUGAUAAACAGGUCUCGGGUAGGGUGACUUACAAUGGCCAUGAGAUGAAUGAGUUUGUCCCUCAGAGAACAGCAGCCUAUAUAAGUCAGCAUGAUUUGCACAUUGCGGAGAUGACGGUGCGAGAAACCCUUGCUUUCUCUGCUCGGUGCCAGGGAGUCGGUACUCGAUAUGGUAAGUAUAACUUCUUCAAUUUCGUUGGCAUAGUUAGCUCAUAUCAUAUGUACUUCUUCAAUUUCGUUGGCAUAGUUAGCUCAUAUCAUAUGUUCUAGGUUUAAUUUGACCAAAUAUUAAAAUUUUGACCUUAAUGUACAGAUAUGUUAACUGAGCUUUCUAGAAGGGAGAAGGCCGCAAAUAUCAAGCCCGACCCUGACAUUGAUGUCUACAUGAAGGUGAGCUUCAGAGUUCUUUCAAUAGUUCUUUGUACUUCUAAAGUCUCUCUCUUUUAGAUAUAUACAGUUGAAUGAAUUAAUUCAAUUAGAAAUUUCGUUUGUGUUCUUAUGGAAGAGAUUGUUCUUCGUGCAAAUUGAUUUAAAUUGCAGGCAGCUUCAAUGGGAGGACAGGAAACAAGCAUAAUUACUGAUUACGUGCUCAAGGUAUUGCAUCUUGUGAAGAAGUUCUACGUGGUUAUUGAAAGAUAUCGUUAAAUUACACAACCUAAAUCUCAUGUUUAUGCCUAUGCAGAUUUUAGGUUUAGAUAUAUGUGCCGAUACCAUUGUAGGAAAUGAAAUGUUGAGAGGAAUCUCUGGAGGACAAAGAAAGCGUGUCACGACUGGUAAUUUUUUUUUUCCUUCAUUAUUCUGAUCUUUUAUAUUAAUAUGCACUACACCUAUAUACUGAUCUUUAUUGCUGUUUUUCCAUCCCAAAAUGUAUUUUACAGGCGAGAUGAUUGUCGGACCAGCAAGAGCUCUGUUCAUGGAUGAGAUAUCCACUGGUCUUGACAGCUCCACAACAUUCCAGAUAGUAAAAUCUCUCAAGCAAAUGACCAACAUUCUUGGUGGCACGACCGUAAUUUCCUUGCUUCAGCCUGCUCCGGAGACUUACGACCUUUUCGACGACAUAAUCCUCCUCUCAGAUGGGCAGGUUGUGUACCAAGGCCCGCGCGAGAACGUGCUUGAGUUCUUUGAGUCCAUGGGGUUCAAGUGCCCUGAGAGGAAGGGCGUCGCUGACUUCUUACAAGAAGUAAGUUAACUAGUAGAUGGUUGCUUUCCUGUAUUCUGUAUCUGCUUUUUUGAGGCUUCGCUUCUUGAAGAGCUCGUCUACUUCAGAAAAGCAGAGUUUUUCAUAAACCAAGUGUUUGGCUAAUUAAAAGUCCAGAGCAUGUGCUGUUGCAGAAGUUAAAAUAUUCUACGCUUGAAACAGAAAGUCACUAGCGUUUGUUAGGAGAAUUUGAUUAAAAAAAAAUUUGUUAGUGUUAUAUUCAUAUAGCUCUACUCAAAUAUCAAUUUUGCAGCAGAAGAUCCAGCUUGGCCGAAUGGCCCUAAAAACUAUUCCUAAAUUGAACAGUGACAGCAAGUAUAUAAUCCCCUUUCUUUUGUAAAUUAUAGGUGACUUCAAGGAAAGAUCAGCAUCAGUAUUGGGUACGCCAUCCCGAGCCGUACCGAUACGUUCCCGUGAGGGUGUUCUCAGAGGCGUUCCAGUCGUUCCAUGUCGGUGAGAAGCUUGGGAGAGAGCUUUCGGUCCCAUUUGACAAGAGCAAGAGCCACCCGGCUUCUCUCACUACAUCAAAGUAUGGCCUUAGAAAGAAGGAGCUGCUAAAAGCUUGCGCGGCUAGGGAGUUCUUGCUAAUGAAGAGAAAUUCAUUUGUGUACAUAUUCAGGGCUGUUCAGGUUGGCAAUUUUAGUAUUACAAUUACCCUAUGUUUCAAUCCAUGUUAUAAUAAAUUAUGUGCCGCUAAUAAAACUUGGUAAUUCUUUGACUGCAGCUCACUUUUUUGACAAUCAUUCUAAUGACACUCUUCUUAAGAACCCGCAUGCACCAUAGGGAUGUGAAUGAUGGGGUGGUUUUCAUGGGUGCUCUCUUCUUCUCUAUUAUAGUCCACAACUUCAAUGGCUUCUCUGAGCUCGCCUUGACCACCAUUAAGCUCCCUGUCUUCUUCAAGCAACGGGACUACCUCUUCUUCCCUGCAUGGGCGUAUUCUAUACCAACAUGGAUCCUUAAGUUUCCUGUUUCGAUGAUCGAGGCAGCGGUCACGGUGUUCUUGAAUUACUAUGUAAUUGGUUUUGAUCCAAACAUAGGAAGGUUAGUUUGAUGGACCGAAAAACAAAAGCUAAUUUCAUUUAUACUAAAAAGUUUGAAAUAACUCGGGUGUAUCGGUAAAGAUACAUAAAUACUCAAAAAGUAUCCCUUUCGGAGAGCAUUUAUGAAAACGGCAAGUGUAUUUUCUCCGGCACUUGUGAUAUUUUAUGUGCUUUUUUUAUUAUUUCGAUAAAUAAAAGGGCACUUUCGAUACCUCUAACUUUUUGAGGGCAUCUAGGGAAUCAUAUAAUUCGAGAGUUAUGAAAGUAAUUUUGCCAAGAAGCCAAGAUCCUGCUCAAAUUCUGUGUUUCUUCUACUAAUUUUAAGAGAUUUUGUUGUUAUUGCACAGGCUGUUUAAGCAGUAUCUGCUGCUUCUCUUUGUCAAUCAAAUGGCUGCUGGGCUCUUUAGAUUGGUCGCAGCAUUAGGCAGGAUCAUGGUUGUCGCGAAUACAAUUGCAUCCUUUGCACUUCUGGUGAUGCUCGUUUUCAGUGGAUUCAUCUUAUCGCAUGGUAAGAUUUAAUAAAUUUUUGUAAACUGGUAAUUUUUGCCACUUUAAAUGCAUGUACUUAUCAGUUUUAUGUAUGAAUAUAUUGACAGAUAAGAUUAGGAAUUGGUGGAUCUGGGGUUACUGGAUCUCCCCCCUCAUGUAUGCACAGAACGCAAUUUCAGUGAACGAGUUCCUAGGACACAAAUGGAGACAUGUAAGAGAAUCUAACUUGAACGAGAGAGAGAGAGAGAGAGAGAGAGAGAGAGAGAGAGAGAGAGAGAAGGAGAAAACUCUUUUUUCCAUUUUAGUAUCUGAAAUAUAUAUAUAUAUUUUCAGAUUGAUCCUGCAACAAAUGAGACACUUGGCGUAGCAGUCUUGAAAUCACGCGGAAUGUUUACAGAAGCAAAAUGGUAUUGGAUUGGUCUCGGUGCAUUAGUUGGUUUCGUUCUCGUCUUCAACUUUCUCUUCACGGUGGCACUGUCCUAUCUAAAAUGUUAGUGUCGAUGAUUUUCCAUUCUGUUUUCAAAAUUUUCCAUGGAUUUUAUUAAAUUUGGUUCUGAAAAUUUUCUUUUGAUGCACUCAUGCAGCAUUAGGGAAGGCUCAGCCUAUUCUAACUGAAGAAGCAAUUAAGGAGAAGCAUACAAAUAUUACUGGGGAAAUGCUGGAAAUGGAAACCAUAGGGCAAGCCUCCGAUAGCGUCUCUUCGUCCAGAGGUUAGUCUAUUACAUCUAUAUAUAUAUGUAGCUUCUAUUUUACACAUAUUUACAAUUAAAGGUUCUCAUCUAUUUUUGACAAUUGUGUACAAUAGGAAACGCUAGAAAUGCUAGGAAUAGUGCUUCAUCAAGGACAACAGCUGAGGAUUCUAAUCAGAAUAGGAGAGGAAUGGUUCUUCCAUUUGCGCCACUUGCAGUUGCUUUUGAUGAUAUAAGAUACUCGGUCGACAUGCCGCCGGUACUUUCUCUUGAUAGAUUACACUAUCUAUACAAUUCUAUGUAAAUCUAAGAGCAACGGGGCAUGUAUGGUGCUCAUUUUUUUUCACGAUUUUGCUUCUUACUCCCUCAAAAUUUUCAUGCAAUUGCAGUCCAACUUCCUUUAUCUCACGCGCUCUGCACGUGAUUCUUGUUUUGCAUAUUGACCGUUUAGCCCCCUGUUUUUGUCAACCGAGUUUAAAAGGGAUAGAAUGGUCAUUUUAUAUGAAAAGGAUAUUUGGUCCGCAAAAGGAUCAUCAGGGAUGCAAUUGUUAAAUGUCAGAAAAUUCAGGAACUAAGUAUGAAAAUUUUGAUAGUAUAGGAAUUAUCCUUACAUUUUACCCCAGAUUUAAGGCCCAAAUAGGGUUUUCUAACAUGAUUUUUGUACAUCAGGAAAUGAAAGCACAAGGAGUUCAAGAGGACAGGCUGCUGCUACUCAAAGGAGUCAGUGGGUCUUUCAGGCCGGGUGUUCUUACUGCUCUCAUGGGUGUAAGUGGAGCUGGAAAGACUACACUUAUGGAUGUCUUAGCCGGUAGGAAAACCGGAGGGUACAUAGAAGGAAACAUCACCAUUUCUGGCUAUCCCAAAAAGCAAGAAACCUUCGCUCGUGUUUCCGGUUACUGUGAACAAAAUGAUAUCCACUCUCCUAAUGUGACGGUCUAUGAAUCACUCGUCUACUCCGCGUGGCUCAGACUGCCUCCUGAAGUUGAUUCCGAGACCAGAAAGGUUUGUUCUCGAUCGGUAGAUGGUUAAUUCUUCGUGGCGCAGUUUGAUCACUAGUUUAAAGUCAACACUAUGUUUGAUUCGACAUUACAGGAAUAAUUGUAAUCACAAGACAACUACAAUGAUUGCGAGGAUAAAUAGAGAUAAAGUAUAGGACAAUGUUAUUCAAGUGAUGAGAUGAGAUAGUUGUUCCCGAGUUAUUUUAUAACAACCUGUUUCGGCCAAAACAACUAUGGAGUUAUUUAGCUAUUAUUGCUGAAACAAAAGGAGCUAUUGUUUGCUAUUUAUACUCAAAAAAAUAGUUUUAUUCUUUUGCAGAUGUUCAUUGAAGAGGUGAUGGAACUAGUAGAGCUUAAUCCAGUGAGAGAAGCACUCGUUGGAUUACCUGGUGUGAACGGCUUAUCAACGGAGCAAAGAAAGCGGCUUACGAUUGCUGUGGAGCUUGUGGCCAACCCUUCGAUCAUAUUCAUGGAUGAGCCCACUUCUGGACUAGAUGCGAGGGCCGCAGCCAUAGUUAUGAGGACUGUGAGAAACACCGUCGACACUGGUAGAACUGUCGUUUGCACAAUUCACCAGCCUAGUAUUGAUAUUUUUGAAGCUUUUGAUGAGGUAAGGAUUUUCUUUUUUAUUUCAGUCGCACUACUAAUUUUGAGUUCCCUUAGAUAAAUGUGGAAAAAAAAAAAAAGAGAUUUAAGGUGUCUAUGUUACUUUUCAUAUUUAUUUAUCUUGUCUGUGAUUUAGCAUACCUAAAGUCUUUCUGAUAAAGACAAGUAAAACACACAUCAUUUUUAUUUUAACCACUGCUUAUAAGUGAGAUUGCAUAAAUUUACCUGCAAAGUUGGUAUCUACAUGCAUGUCUUUGAAAAUCAUAUUUAUUUGCUUUCUUGUCCCUGCCAAUGUAUACAUGCAAAAACUGUUUCUGCAUAGAUACCUCCAGCAGGGGCACGAGCGCACAUGCCAGCUUUGCAAGGGUUGUUGUGCAACGUUACAUAUUUGUAGGGUGUAUAUAUAUGCAAAAAAUCAAAGUAAACAUUCGAAAAACACAUCUAUAACUCUUUAUCAGUUUGUGUGAUGUUCAUAUUUUUAUUUGUGCCACAAUUGCAGCUCUUUCUAAUGAAGAGAGGUGGAGAAGAGAUAUAUGUGGGCCCACUAGGACACCAUUCUGUUCAUCUGAUCAAUUAUUUUGAGGUGAGGCAACCGAGAAAAACUACACUUUAUAUUCUUCCAUUUUUCUGAAACCUUAUUUGUGAGUCUAAAUGUGGCCUUCUUUUUCAAAUUUAGGGAAUUCGAGGGGUUAGUAAGAUCAAACCAGGGUAUAAUCCUGCAACAUGGAUGUUGGAAGUGAGCUCACUGGCCCAAGAAGAGAUAUUGGGUGUCAACUUCACUGAAACAUACAAGAACUCAGAACUGUAUCAGUAAGUGAAUUGCUUACCCUUUUUUUUCACUUGAAUCCUGAGUAAACUUAAAUUUGCAACGAGUUAUUAAUUUGGUGUUGUUUUGCAGGAGAAACAAAGCAUUGAUUAAGGAACUAAGCGCACCCCCUCCUGGUACCAGUGAUCUAUAUUUCGCGUCUCAGUAUUCUCAAUCCUUUUUCUCUCAAUGCAUGGCUUGUCUUUGGAAACAAUACUUAUCGUAUUGGAGGAACCCUCCGUACACUGUCGUGAGGUUCUUCUUCUCUCUCAUUGUUGCCUUCAUGUUCGGCACAAUAUUUUGGCGCCUCGGUAACAAAUGGUAACUAUUGUCCUUGACCCGUUUUUAUGUUUUUGGAUGUCAUUUAUCUAACAAAUUUGUCCGGAACAUAUUUGUAUAGUGUUGAGCUUAGGCUCGAGAGUAUUUGAUUUUUUAUCUGCCGUGUCAAUUGCACAUCAUGGAUGUACUUUCUAUGAUUUGAUUAUUCCCGGUACGUGUCAAGAUUCUUGGUUUUAACUGAUGCACCUGUGAAUCGUGAUGCGAAAAGCAAUACUCUCGAUUAGCCUAGUUCAACUCUAUAUACACAAUUUCAUUAUUUUUUAUCUCUUUUAGAUUCAAAACAUUCAUCCAGCGACAAAAACUUUGAUGUAGGGAAACACAACAGGAUCUAUUCAACGCCAUGGGCUCAAUGUAUGCUGCUGUUCUGUUCAUGGGAAUCUCAUACGCCUCUUCGGUGCAACCUGUCGUUGCCAUUGAAAGAACGGUCUUCUACCGAGAAAGAGCCGCAGGAAUGUAUUCGGCAUUGCCGUAUGCAUUUGGACAGGUAAAUUUAUUUAUCAUUCAUAAUAAUAAGCACUUCUUUUGUGAGAAGUUGCCCAGAAUUCAUUGUAAUAAUGAAAGAAGAGAACAUAAGAAUAAAAGAGAAAAGAGGUACAAAUUAAGCUUCUCGCACAAUAAGACUAUUACCAACUAGAUGUUGUUUUAAGAAGUCAAAAAUGAGCUUCCAGUCUUCUAGCCAUGAAAAGCAGCAGCUCAGUAUGUAGCUUCUGCUUCUAGCUACGGCGAGAGGCUGUAAGGAAAAUUAUAAUGAAAAAAAAAAAGCCAUUAGGGCUUUUUCAAAUAAUGUCUCUACUCAAGAAGCAGAAUCCAAGUACUUCGAUUGAGAAAGCCAAAUAAGCUCCUAGCUGUCAAAAUCAGAAGUUUCAAUUUGGAGCUUUUCCUUCUAGCUAGAGCCAGAAGUUGUUAAUAGAAUUAAUAUUUUUUAAAAAAAAAAAAAAAACCAUCAGUGUUCCUUUGAACACUUGUGCAGUAGAACAUGAGGAUUGAUGUAAGCUAAAUACUCGCAGGUUUCAAUCGAACUACCAUACGUCCUAAUCCAAUCACUGAUAUACGGAGUUAUAGUGUACGCCAUGAUCGACUUCAAAUGGACUGCGGCAAAGUUCUGUUGGUACAUAUUCUUCAUGUACUUCACACUCCUCUACUUCACAUUCUAUGGGAUGCUCUGCGUCGGAGUUACUCCAAAUUACAACAUUGCCUCCAUUGUUUCCUCUGCAUUCUACGGCAUCUGGAAUUUGUUCUCCGGGUUUAUUAUCCCCAGACCUGUAAGUUUCUCUAUCUAAUUUAUAUCCAUUUUUGGUUAUAUUUAUAGGUAAAAUUUUAGGAACUUCCAAAUUAUCAUGAUUUGGUCCCUAUAUUUCUAUCUGCAGUCAUGUAAAAUGACCUUUUAACUCCCCUUAAGUCUAAACCGUAUAUGGAUCGAUGACAAUGAUCUAGUUCAUACUAUAUGAGAUCAAGCACCAUAUUGCAAUAUUUCAAAAUUUUCGCACUAUCCUUGCACGUAUUCUUUCAUGCAACUACCACAACAAUUUCGAACACAAAACAAGAACAUGACCUUAAUUUAAACAAAUAUAUCACAUACUUAUUGAGAGAAACGCAAAAUCAACACAGCAGGAACCUAUCAAACAUGAAACAAGUAAUUGUUUUGGACUUUUAGGAUCCGUUUCUUCAAAUUGACAUGUCUAUCGAACAUGAACACAACUAAGCAAACCUCAACUGCCACCCCUACAUUCAACUAGUACUUGUUUUUACUGAAAACAAUAUUAAAUUGAUUAGUUUUAAUGAGCAGAUUCUAAUUUUCUGUUUUUCCAUUUAUUUUGCAGAGGAUGCCAGUGUGGUGGAGGUGGUACUCGUGGGCGUGCCCCGUAUCGUGGACGCUGUACGGAUUAGUCACGUCGCAGUUUGGUGACAUACACGACACCAUGACCAACGACAAAGAGGUAUCCCAGUUUUUGAAGGACUACUUCGGGUUCCAUCACGACUUUCUGCCCGCAGUUGCCGUCGCUGUUGUCGGUUUUGCUGCCCUCUUCGCCUUUUUAUUCGGCUUUUCCAUCAAGGUCCUCAACUUCCAACGGCGAUGAUCAUGAUCUCCCGUUUUGAUAUUCGAAAAAGUGGAAACUAUUGUUAGACAAUUUUCUUUUUUUCUUUUCUUUUCCUUUCCUUUCUUUUUGAGAGAGAACAACAAGAUUUGAGUAGCACUAGUUACAUGUAUAGUCCUCAUUUUCUUGGCAUUCUUAUGUAUAAUAGAGAUGAUUAAUUGACACAAAGAAUGUGUUGUAUUAAAACGUACUUAUUCAAUAAAGGACCAAUUAAGUGCAUCAUAUUCAUGCUCAUUAAGAGCUUUCGUACUCGUCGUGUAGUCUGUUUAUCCCAAUCGGAGAUUCUACAAAAGUGUUGUUCAUUAAUAAUAUUUUAAUAGUUCAUAUGUGCCAAUAAAACAUUACGAGACCUUAGUUUUCAGUUUUAGGGUUUAUAAGAGUCUCAAUUUAAAAUUUAAAAUUUAUGAGAGAAGGUGAUCAAAUGUUUGAAUAUAAGAGUUCCUUAUAGAAUAUCUAAAUAGUAACAACGGGAAUUCUAAGUAAGACAAAAAGAAUCGUAACGCAAAAAUAUAUGAUAAACCAAAGGGAUAUUUAAAGUUAAUAUCAAUCACCAGCUAGCCUAGCAGUUGUUAUGUGGAUUGCUGAUCAAGAGGUUAGUAUUUAAUCUCCCGCUUGUGUGUUUAUAAGAGAAUCUACAAACACGUGAGCUCCGAAAAUAAUCGAAAAAAAGGUUUUAAAAGUUUCUUAUUAUGAUCCUAAUAAGUUCAAUUUGAAUCGUUCUGACCCGCUAGCACGAAAUAUUUAAGUUCAGUUAUUAUUACUAGAGUACGAGACCUCAUAUAUUAUGCUUAAACUCAGUUAUGUUUAGACCUCGAAAUCCCAACCCGCUAGCAAUAAUAACUCGAUGUGCUUAAAUGCAGAACAAAAUGCUUAAUCUUGAAUCAAAACUCCUUUCCUAUCUGAUAUGGGACUAUUGGCGCAAGCGUUACAUAAUUAUAGGCAACAGAUUCAAACAGAGGAUGUUCUAUAUAACCAUGGCCACAUAUUUUUCCAAGUUUUUAGACUAGGUCAAUCAUAUAAGGGUGUUAAUUAAUUAAUGUGGGUUCCUUUCAAUCCUAAUUCAUGGCCAUCCAUUUUUAAAUUGAUAUACAAAUGAAAGGACCACAUGAUUACAUGAUUUAAAACGCCACCAAGCAAGAUUGUGAUUUAAUAGCUGUGAUUUUGACCUCCAACCAAACUCCUAAAAACAAAAAAAAAAAAAAAGAGAAAAAACCACAAGAAAUUUUGUUGUACUUGAAAUUUACACAAGUAUGAAAUCAUGCUUUAAUUGUAAAUCAAAUUAUACAUAGGGAAACCCCAUUAUAGAAAAGUAUUGUGAUUGAGAACAUGUAAAAUUUGAAUACAUGAAUGAUUAUUCAGCUAAAUUUGUUAGUGCGUUCUUAACCUAAACCAGGACCAACUAAAAUUAAUUCAACAAAAUACAAAAAAAAAACAACAAAAAUUAGGAUCCUGAUUGAGUAACAAACAUGAACAUUGUGUUAUAAGUAGGAGAAUACACUCAUGGUGCAACUCACCUUUAAUUUACCAGUUCGAUCACAAAGUGCAUAUAUAUAUAGACAUAUAUAUGUAGCAAAUCCAAAAGAAACACAUAUACAUAUACACCACAUAUAAACAUAAAUACCUAAAUGUGAAUUAAUUACGAGAGAACAAACGCUACAAAAAUGGCUAGCAAAAUUGCACCCAUGCACGUAACAGUAGCCGACGCAACCGCGACCGCCGCCGCCGAAGGAACGAGCGGGUGCUUGUAGUAGAAAGGGAAGUAGGGGAGGAUCGGGUCGGGGGGCGGAGGCGCGGGGUAAGCGUAGGAGGGGGGAGAGUAGGAGUACGGCGGCAGCUGAGGAGGAGGAGGAGGGUAACCGUAGGCGGUCGGAGCGUAGGGCGGUGGCGGAGGAGGGUAGUAGUUGCCUGCGACGGAGGUCGGCGGAGGUAGGCACGGGUACGGGCACUCGGUCGACGAGCCGUCGUCGGAUGUGGCUGGUGUGGGGGUGGUGAUGAGGAGGAGGAGGAGGAGGAGUGUUAGGGUGGUGGUGAUCAAUUUGGAGAUGGCCAUGGAGUGAGGUGAGGGGCUUGACAUGGUGAGAGAAAGAGAGAGAGAGAGAGAGAGAGGUAUCAAGAAAAUAUGAUCACCUAAUAAUAAGGGAGGAGAGAGGAGAGAGGAGAGAGAGAGAGAGAUUUGAAUGAAAAAUAAAAUACAAUGAUCACCUUAUGAUUGAGAUAUAGAUAUAUAGAGAGAGAGAGGGAAUAGGGGAGAGUUGAUAUAUCAUCAAUUAUGAGAGAGAGAGAGGAUCACCUUGUGAGAAGGUGAGAAGGCUAGAGAGAGAAAGAGAGAGGAUCACCUUAAUUGUAAAAAGAAAAAGAAACAGUCACUGAAAAUAAAAGUUAUCUUAUUUUAUCAGAAUAUUUUUAUAAAAAAUUUAAUCACAUUCAGAAAGAUUUUUUAUAUACAGACAGUUUAAUUAAUUGUUCAUCACUGUUUUAACGUUCGUAUAUUACAUAUGAUGAAUAAUUAACUGGCUGACUAUUUCGUGGAGGAAAGAUUUUUAAAAAAAUUUUAUUUAUUUUUUAAGUAAAAUUAUAAAGAACAUAUUUAAUGCUUUUAAUAUUUUUGUUCACAAAGUAAGAGAUAGAAAGAGAGAGUAAAAUUGAGAGGAGAGAGAAAGUAGUUGGUAGAGAGAGAAAAAGUAUGGAAGUGGGUUUAGUGGGAGAGAGAGACAACACAAUUAAUGGUGAGGUGGCAACCACUAGAAGCUUAAGGGAUGAAUGUUUUUGUCCCUUUUAACUCCAAAAGCCAACAAAUUGAGAAGAUGAUGCAAUAUUUGUCCAUUUCAAUUUUCCAAUUUUCAACUCAACUUGUUUUGACUUUGGUUAAAAUUAAUUUUGAUUUAAAUCAAAUCGACAAUUUUAUUUUGAUUUAAACUAGAAAUUAUGGUUUAUUUUUCUAAUGACAAAUCGAAGAGCUAAUACAAGCCAAAAUUGCCCCGAAGUGUUAUAUAUAUAUAUAUAUCAAGUUAAUUUUAGAAACUUAAGUUAAACAAUCAAAUUACUAAACUAUAAAGUUUAUUUUGAAAAAAAUUUCUUAAGAUCACUUGUCAAAUUUGUAAUUAGAAAAAUAAACCAUGAAAUGAAUAUUAUUACAGUAGAAACAUGGUGGGAGGAGAGAAAUUUUUUUGCUUAAUUUUCAAAUUAAGUAAAAAAUUUCGUUAAAAUUAANAUUUGUAAUUAUAUAUUCAUGUGAUUCAAUUGUUUUAUUUAAAACCUCCCUAGGUAAUAAAAGGUCCCUUCAUAUGUUAUGUUAAUGUCACAUUAAUUAUUAUCACAUUGAUUGCACAUAAAGCAACAUCAACGCAUUAUAGGUGUCCCAAUACAAGAUUAAGGGCACAUAGUUUAAGGAAAAUAAAAUAAAACAAAAAGAAAAAGAAAAGCAUGAAAUGAAUAUUAUUACAGUAGAAACAUGGUGGGAGGAGAGAAAUUUUUUUGCUUAAUUUUCAAAUUAAGUAAAAAAUUUCGUUAAAAUUAAUAACUUCACUAAUUAGUAAACAUUAAUAUUUUUUGCGGAUGAAUUAUUAAAUUUGAUGAAAUCACAUUUUUAAGUUAUAAUUGAAUCAAAAAUUCAUUUGAUUAAUGAAAUAACUCUUAUUAAUGUGCGCGCACACACAAAAAAAUUAUAUUUAAAUAGACACGAAAGCAUAUAUGGGGCCUUAGAGUUUUAUUGAAAAAUACUUAAUUUUAUUUUACAAUGUAUAUCAGUCGAACUUAUCAGUCCGUCAAAGGAUAGGAUGUUGACCCAUUUGAGUUAACAGAUACGACAAUAAGUAAAAUGUCACAUCGCUAUCAUAUUAACCUAAUAAUUUUUUUUAGUUAUUACGUGUUUAUAGUUUUAGGGAGUGUUUUGUUCAGCGCUUUUCAUAGUUGUCAACUAUUCUAGCAGUUGAUUCUUCUUGCAAAAAAAUGAUUACAUUUGAUAAAAUUUGAUAAUAUUGUUCAUUUAAUUGACUAAAGUUAUUUCAUUUCGAAGAAACAAUUCAAAAGUUAAAGAGGCUCGAUAUUUAAAAAAAAAAAAGUUGAGAGGGCUAUUUUAAAAAAUCCUGUAGUUGAGGGGGGUUUUCAUACAUUGUCGGGCCGGGCCUAGGGAUGUAAAACGGGCCAGGCCGCUCAUGGGCAGCCCGGCCCAGCACGGCCUCGAGCCGGGCUGUAGGACAUCUGUGCCGGCAGGCCCGGCCCGGCCCGAACUUUCGGGUCGCGCUUGGCCUCACUGUUUAGGGCCGAUGGUCCGGCACGGCACGACACAAAACGGGCCUGAGUCGUGCCAAGCUGAGAAGAGCCCGCGGCCUAGCAUGACACAGCUCACUUGGGCCGUGUCAGCCGAGCUAGCACAGCCCGGACCCCAUGGCCCAAGGCAACUUGCCUUGGGCCUAGGAGUGCGAGCUCCUGGGGAGGAGCUCACCUUCCAAGGUCUGCAGUAGGACUGUCAACGAGUCGAACACGUGUGAGCUGGAGUCGGCUCGUGUUCGGCUCGUUUCAUGAAACGAGCCGAUCUCGAGCUGGCUUAUUAACGUAUCGACCAAAAAAUUCAGCUCGUAUUCAACUCGUUUAUUAACGAGCCGAACACGAGCCGGCUCACGAACAAUAAGUUAAAAGAUUAGAAAGGAUAUAUAUAGGAUAUAAAUUUUUUAUAUCUUACUCAUUAAACUUUGAUUUAAUAAUCGAAACUUUACACAUAAAUGGAUCAUUUUACAAUUGAGUUGAAUUUUAAUAUUUAGGUUGGACUAAAUAUCAAAUAAUAAAAAUCUGAAAUAUAUAUAUAAUUAUUUAUUAUAUAUAUAAAAUAAAAUAUAUGUAUUUAAGCUGUUAUCGAGCCGAACAUGAGCGAGCUGACCCUAAUACUUGUGUUCGACUUAUUUACUAAACAAGCGAUUCGCAUUCAAGCUCAUUUCGAGCCGAAAACGAGCUAGAAUGUCAUCUAUAGUCUGCAGUGGCAGUCUGGCAGAUUUUGGGAGAAGUGGUUUUUUGUCCAAUGGAUCAACAAUUAUGGCCUAUUGAACCAAAAACUCUUUUUUUUUUUCAAAAAAUAAAUAAUAUAAUGUAUAUAUUUUUAAAAAAACAUUUUAAAAUUUGUUAGUUUAUAUUUCUUUUUUAAAAUUUUUUAAAUUUUUAAUCAAAUAUCAAUUUAACUAAAAAAUAAUAUAUUAUUCUUUUUUUAAAAUUUUACAUUUUUGAAAAAAUAUUAAAAAAAUAAAAAAUUAAGGCCGGCCCGGCCUUCUGGGCCGUGCUGGCCGGAGGAUCGUUUGCUCCGGCCCAACACGGCCCGCCCGAAUAUGAAGCCGGACCCGACUAAUUGGGCCGUGUCGGGCCGGGCUAAUAUGGCGACUAAUAUGGGCCGUGUCGAUCCGGUACGAUCCACAUUACAACCCUAGUUGGCCCAAUCCACCCCACCAGGCAAAAAAAAAAAAAAGCCCUAAUAAAAACAAAUUAACACUCGACCCCAACUCACACCUACGCAAACGCUUAGAAAUUUCUCUCUCCUUUUCAGGAUUUUUUUUUUUACUUUUUGGUGAUUUGCUCCAAUUGUUUUUAGAACAAUAAUGGCCGAUUUCCAAACCUCUACACAUCGAGAGAGGUGGAUUUUUACGCCCAAGAUUUGGUAAUUUCGUCUAGUUUUUUCCCCUAAUUUCUUUUUUUUUUUUUUUUUUUUCCUGUUUACAUUGCUAGAUGAUGUAAAAUUAUAUAGAUACUUUAGAGAGAGAAAAAAGAAAAAAAAACCAUUUUUCGUGAUUAAAUUUGCUCUGACUCACUAGAUUUCUAACAAAGUUUACUCCUUCAGGCGAAACCCCAAAUCAAAUGCGAGUAUAUUUACAUAAUUUUUGUUAAUUAGCUCGAAAAUUGAAACAAUUUGAUGGGUGUUGUGCGGGGACAUGAUAUAUUAAUUGGUUUAGGUUAAAAAGUUUAUAUUUUGAAGUAAGAUAGGGUUUGUAUUUGAAGUUAUUAGAACUAAGUUAUGUGUUCUUGUUCAUAUAUGUUUAGUUGGAGAAGCAUGAGGCUGCGAAUCAGAGAGCUGCGAAGAUGCUCGAACAGGUUCUAUUUUGCAUUGUAUAUGAGCUUUAUCUUUUAUUGCGCUAUAUUUUUCGAUAAUCUGAAAGUGAGUAGUAAUGUGUUGUUACAUAAGAAAUUGAGUCCUAUAUGCUUUAUAUAGCAUGUUCAUAAUAUUCUUCUACCUUUUUUUAUUUUAAUUUGGUUGCUGAAGUAUUUUGCCAAAUGUUCAAUGUUCACUGAUUUUGGCAAACUAGUGUAGGAACCCGCGCAAUGCGACGGAUAUAAUUAUAUUUAAUUAAAUUUAAUAAUAUAAAAAAUAUUUUAAAAUUUUUAGAAUAAAAUUAUAAUUUAAUGAAAAACAACGAAAGAUAAAAAAAAAUUAUAGGAGAAAAAAAUUUAUUACAUAGAAAUCUGACCCCUUUGUAUCCUCAUUUAGGGCAUUCUCUACUAACAGCGACGAUUUCGUAAAGUAUCACAGCGCCCUCAACCACUUUUCGGCAAGUCCAUAUCUUAGCCGAUACUUUGCGUCCUCCGAGACAUUAGAGGAGAGAUACACACCCUUUGUAUAACUAUACAUUACAAAUUUAAGUGGUCGAGAUCGAGAGAGGAAGGUUCGAGGCUAGGGUUAGAGUUCGACUCACUCGACGUUGACGGCAAGAGUGAGGGCGGCACGCCGGCGGGGCUUGAGAUUGGAGCGGAUGUAGUAGGCGAGGUCGUUGUCGAGGACGCUAUAUGGCUUCUCGGGCAACGCCUCUUAAAAAAUAAAAACUAAUGAGGGGGAAGUCGAAGCAGUGACGUUAUAGAGAAGGAAUUAAUGAGAUGGGAAGCCGGAGAGACAUACGUUACAGAAAAUGAAUUAAUAAGACAGGAAGCCGAAGAGGCAGACGUUACAGGGAAUGAAUUAAUAAGACGGAAAGCCGAAGAGGCAGACGUUACAUGGAAGCAAUGAUUGGAGAGUAGAAAUUUUGGAGUGAAAAGGAGGGGCGAAGGAGAAAUUGCCACGUGGCAAACUCCAAGAAAAAUAAUGUAUAGGUAUAUAGAGGUAUAGAUUCUGACAAAGAGGCAAUAAAGUAUGAAUAAUCUGUAAAUGGUUGGAGCAUUUUCAAGAACUUUAUUCAAUAUUCAUUGGCAACUGCAUUUUAAAUUUGGAGAAUUAAGGGAUAUUAUAACCAUUGUGUAUAUAUAUGCUACUUUGUUGUUUUUUUUUUUUGUAAAUUUUUCUUUCGUCGAUCAUACUAUUCUCUAAUUUUCUUUGUGAAUCAACUGAGGUUUCUGGAAAAUUUCAUCACAUAUUCCAAUGCCUUUUGAACUAAAUUACUGAUCUUGCUUUUUAGCCUUUUGAACUAAAUUACUGAUCUUGCUUUUUAUGAAGUAUGGCGUGACGCGUUUGGAAGUAGAUGUUGAUGGUUCGCUGUCGUACCCCGAACCUGUUCUCGACCAAAAAGAUAAUGGUAAUUCUCUUCUCUCAUUCCUUCCUCAAGAAAUUAUUUGGUUAUGUAAAAUUCGAUUCUUAUAUUUUAUCUAUAUUGUGCUUUAGUAAUCAUCUGAUUUGAGUGUUUCUUAUUGAGCUCUAUUAUCACCAUUUCUACUGAAAUGUAGUCGAACUGGUAUUGACCUAUCGUAAUUUACUUAGCUGAACGGCAUUCCUCUGCAAAACCUCUUAACUGUGAAGAGGAGCACCUUAUGCGGGUAUUUUAUGAACAAAAGAUCCAAGAGGUUUGUGCGGCAUUCAAGUUCCCUCAUAAAAUACAGGUAAAGUAGAUUGCUUUCGUUAUCCUUUCUCUUCCUUCUUUUUCAAGGUGGAAAAUUUACGUUGAUGUUUCUUUCCUUACAGGCAACGGCAAUAUUAUACUUUAAAAGGUUUUAUUUACAAUGGUCUGUGAUGGAACAUCAUCCGAAGCAUAUAAUGUAAGUUUUGGUGUUGAUUAAAAGAUUUGGUGGUUAUGAUGUUCAUAUAUGAUUACAACUGGAUACUUGAUGUAAAUGUUCCAUGUGCUUCAUUUCCUGAAAUGGAAUUUGACAAUGAAAAUGUGAAGGUCGUUAAAUACUUAGAAAGUGUAUAUUUUAAUUUAAUUAUUUUUUUAUCCUUCAAGUUUAAGUACUUUCUCAAUCCAUGCUUUUGUGUCUUUAUAGGCUAACUUGCGUAUAUACUUCGUGUAAAGUAGAAGAAAAUCACGUUUCUGCUGAGGAACUCGGUAAGGGGAUUCAGCAGGACCAUCAGAUGAUUCUCAAUAAUGAGAUGAUUGUUCUUCAGGUUUCUCUCCUUUUUGUUCCGUCUCCGCUUCUUAGAGUUCUUUAUUCUUUUGAUAUCCCAACAAACUGUUCCCUUGCUGUAAAGGUUCUCAUUUAAUUACAGAGUUUAGGGUUCGAUCUAAUUGUUUAUGCUCCGUACCGAUCCGUCAAAGGCUUUAUUGAGGAUAUAGAGGUGAUUCCUUUCAAUUUCAUACUCUAACUAGCACCUUGUUAGAUAUUAGUGUUCUAAUGCUCUCUCUCUCUCUCUCUCUCUCUCUCUCUCUCUCUUGUGUCUGUGUGUGUUUUCUUGAGGAAAGUUCAAAUUUAUCCUUGCGUAUGAUCAAAUUUGGCUAACUUCAUAUUUUGGUUGUCAAGGAGUUCUGCCAAGCAAGAAAUGGUGAACAAGAAAAGUUCAAGGUACGUGAUGCAUUUAUUUCGGUGUCCCGACCACUUCCUUGCCUAAUUAGAUGAAUUUGGAUAUAUUUGGUGUAUGUAAUCUGAUAAAGUCUACUCUGUGCAUAUCUUUUCUUUUCUUUUUUUAAUUUUCGAAAUCAAGCCUCUGCAUUUCCUCUCGAGUAUAAGACUAGAAAAGAGAAAUAAAAUGUGUACACGAGAGUGUGUAGUUUCAUUAAAAAACGUGAAUUCCAAACUGGAGCUUUGAUUUUCCAUUGAUGCUUUUGUUCGAGCCUUCUGCAGAAUUGGCAAAAGUUCAUGCACAACUGAUUAAAUCCUAUUGAGACUAUGAAAGAAUAUUUACAAUAUCAACUCCUCUACCAUCAGGAAAGAAGUCUAAUUCCACGAUUCUUAGAAACUACAAAAUUCUGUAGCAUGCAUCUAUGGUUCAAUAGAUUUUCCAAAUAUUCUCAUGUGCAAGUUUUACAUGAAACUUAAGACUAUUAAAUAUGUGCUAUAAUUGUCUAACAUACAUUUAUUGAUUUUUAAUUUCAAUUAUUUGUUAUAGGAUUUGCGAGAAACUGCCUUGUUGGAGGUAGACAAGAUGAUGUUGACUGACGCACCUCUUCUCUACACUCCUGGACAAGUAAUUUCCUCUAUCAAUGUUUGCACUGUACUUUUUUAUCUCCAAAGCUCAGUUUGUACAUUUGCGCUACAUAAGUUUUAUCUCCAAGGUUCGAUUUGUAUUGUUCAGUGUAAACUAUUGAUAUUCUAGAAGUCUCGCUUCUCUGAUCCGAACUGUUUUUUAAGCCUUCUUUUAACAAAUCGUAAGUAGACUUAUAGGCUCUUAUGAAAUUGCUAUGACUGUUUAAUGCGAUAUUGUUGUAUCUUUAUUCUUGUUUUCCUUAUUUGGUGUCAUUCUGUUUACUUGUGCAGUUAGCAUUGGCAGGUUUGCGUAGAUCAAAUGCAGUUCACAGAGUUCUCGAUUUUGAAGGGUUUUGAAACUUUCCUUUAUCAUAGUAUUGAAAUUUUAAUCUGUCGUCUUCAUGAAAUUGAAAAUUUGUUUCAGCUUGUUUUUUUUUUUUUUUUUGCAUGUUACAUGAUCUCUAUAAAUAUCUACAGAUACUUGCAUAAUUUAUUCUCACGGCAACGAACCGCUUACUCUGUCUCGCAGCUUGGUGAGUUGAUGGGAACCAUCGAUUCCUUGGUAAGACUUAUAUUAUGUCUUGUACCAAGUAUUUUGAUGGUCUUUUUCAUUAGUGAUAAGUUCCGAAAUUUCUCAAUUUGGAUCUUUGAUUUCCAUGGAAAUUUAUUGGUAUGCGGAGAUAAGCAGACAUUUUGCUUCACUUAGGCAAGAAUAAUUUACUAAGAUGAGAGAAUCUGUUUUAUAUGGUAUCUACCUUUUUUCGCAGUGGCAUUUCUCAUUCAUUUGCGGUAGUCGGAUUAGUUUCUUAAGUUUUGAAGAACGUGGAUUCGCUAGAUAUAGACGAUAAGCACUCUCUUCGAUUGAUUUAUAAUGAAAAAUAAAUAAAUAAAUUUCUGUUUACUGCCACAGGUUGAGCAACUGAAAAUACCGACAGCGAAGGACAUGAGGCAUAUCGACCGGAAAUUGAAGAGCUGCUGGGAUCCGAGCGCGCAAGACGAGUAAUUUUUUUUUUCUGUGAGUUUCUUCAUUUACUUCCCAGUCGUGUUAUUUUAUUCUUUUCGUCGGCAAUUUUUCUCCAGGAACAAGAAAAGAGAGAAGAGAUCAAAGCACAAAUCCAAAAGGGCCGCGAGCGAGAUGCAAGGACCAGUUCCUGAAGUGUAACUUCUUAUUUUUGUAUACUAACUUAUGAGCACCUGAUUCUAUUUUGUGUGGCAUUGAGGACUCUGCCUGGUAAAUUUGCUCUCCUGAAAUUUGGAUAAAACUUAAACCCGAAUCUCAGAAUUCUGGUAAUGCUAUUUGGCGGUAGAAAAUGAUGUGUCUAAGUAAGGCGCUUUUGUUUUGUUUUUUUUUGUUUUUUUGUUUUUUUUCCGAGUUUGUUGUAUCAUGUAGAUAUUUACUUUUGAGUAAUGUGAUUCAAAAAGUGGAUUUUUACUUUGUAGUGGAUGUUCGAAAAGUUAUACUUAUAUUUUUAUUUCAAUAAAAAAAAAUCUAUGGCAAAUAGGGUACUAAAGUAAAAUUUUAAAAAAAUGAGGUGCACUAUCCUGAUUAACAAUAGAUAUUUAGGGCUUGUUUGAUUCAUCCAUUUUGGAUAUGGAAUGAGAAUCGGUUUGAUCAAAUCCGGUUAAUUUUGUUUGGUUCGUAUGAAUCGGUUUGGGAUUCUUAUUCCGGACUGGAAUGGGAAUGACUCAUUAGCCUUCAACUUGAUUCCGGUCUUCUAGCCCGCGGAUUGAGAUUUCAUUUCGGAAGCCCACUAAGUUCUCGAAGCCCACGUGACCAUCUCACCCUUCUUCUCUUCACCCCUUUCUCAUCAAAAAAAAAAAAAAAAAUCUAUCCUCUCUCAAAACCCUAUCCUUAACCCACGUUAAUAAAAGUUUUUAAAAAUAAAUUUGAUAUUUUUUUUAGAAAACUUAUUAGAGAAUAGUAUUAUUUUUUUCAUAAAUUUUAAAUAAUAUAAAUUUAUAUUUGAAAGUAAAAUUAGUAUUAUAGUAUUCUAUAUAUUUUUUAGUUUAUACGAACCAAACAAUGAAAUGUGAAUAUAAACCAAACAUCUUUGGGGGUGGGCUAUUUUAAUUACCAUUUCAAUUCAUUCCCAUUCCAUUAUCCAUUCCAAUUCCACCCUUGAACAAAACAAGCCCUUAUAGUGAAAUGAAAAUAAAAUAAAUAAACAAUUAAAGCGUAACUUUUUGAACCACAGGUGGACGACAUAAAAAUGCAUUAUACCGCAGAUAGUUAAGUUUAACUUUUUAAAUUACGGGCGGCAAAGUGAGCUAUAACACAAAAGGGUGCAAAUUAUAGCUAACCCGUUUUCUCUUUGGUGGAAUAAGAAGGAUAAUUGUGGAUGAUUUUAGUUUUCUCAUUGUUGUUCCUCAACAAAAUGCACAUGCAGAUAGCUGUUAUCAACCCUAGCCUAUUGUUGAAAACAAUGAGCAAUAAUUUAUAAUUACACACAUACAAAAAAAUAAAAAAAGUUUCAGUUUUCUUACAAUUUAAUCUAACAAUCUUUCUAUUUACAGAACCUACAUUUAAAAGCAGUUAGAAACUAUUAUGCAGCUCUUCAACAUAAUCAGCAGCCUCAAUAGCCAUGUACUCUUCAUCCCGAAACCGGCACAAGAACUGAGCCAGCCGGUAAGCAUCCUCGAAGGCUGAAAUCGGGCCGAGCGAGAGCCGGACCGCUUCGAGAUUCGAACUGGGGGGAUCGAGAUUCGCGCCGUCAGCUCUUUUCUCGGGUUUCUGAUGCAAGAUGCUGGACAGAUUGGGAUCAGAUAGAGUGCAGAUGCCCAAGAAUAUGUUGUUCCGCACCGCUAGCUUCUGAACGAGUCUCGCUGGGAGUAUGUUUCCGGUCGGAUCGAGCACAUUGAACGCCAGUAUCGAGCCCCUGUGUUUUCGGUCCGUCGAUCCAUAUAACUAAGCAAUGAGGACAUUUUUCUAUCAAUUAGUAAUGAUCACAUAGUUCUCUGUAAGCAUGGAAGAACAUGCAGAUGUACAGGUGAAAAGUAGUGUAACUUUUACAGAUUGAAGAAAGAGCAACAAACCUGCAAUAAGGGCUUCUCGCCCGACAUGUGCUUCAAUGACUUCAGACUCUUAACCAGCCAUGAAAUCAAGCUCUCGCCCCGCUUCUGAAUGGCCUCGAUUCCAAUGCUCUCCAAAUGCUCGAAUCCAAAUCUCAAUGCUGCGAAUAUAUGGGUACUCACAUUCUCACCUUCCUUUACGACAUGCACACUCUCUCCAUCAUCAGAGGUUCUUGCUGCUUUCAAUCGCACCGAUCCCUUCUCACGGCUUACGGAAUAAGCACUUUUUCUCACUAGCAAGAAGCCAACACCUGAAGGGUACCCAAGUAUGUGGUGCGUGGAGCCAAUCACAAACUCUGGCUGAUACAAGGAGAGAUCUACUCUUACCACAGGGAGACAACUCGAAACAUCCAAAAGAACCUCCCAGUUAUGUUGCUGCGCACCCACGAUCCAGCUGAGUGGAUGGCAUAUCCCGGAUGAGAACGACUGAGCUGGGUAUAUCAAAAGCCCGCAUCGGCGGCCGUUCUGACCUUGUUUUCGUAUUAUCUUGUGCAUAUCUUGCUCGUGGAUGAGUAGGUCCUUGUUUCUUAGAGGAACUGCACCUACUUUUGCAUUGGAUUGCAUCGCAGAUUUGAUCACAUAACGGAUAGCGUGUUGGUUAUCGCGACUAGCAAGAAGAACAGAGCCUCUUUGAAAAUGGUAGAUCUCGGAAAUGAGGUGGUAGGAGGCGGAAAGGCAAGGAGUGAAGAUCACCGAGUAAUCAGUUUGGGUUGUGUUUAGAAGGUCGAGAAUAUAUUGGGCUGUCGAAUUAACAUACUUAUCCUGCUGUGGAUUUGAUGUUUCAGAGGUAUAGAUUGAACCUAGGAAUGCAUUCGUCUCCUCGAGUAGGAACCUCAUGUGUUGUUCCACCUGGAAAUUUAGGGACAAAUAAUUUAGCAAUGCACAACCAAAAACUCACAAAAAAACAAAAAGAAAGAAAAUGCAUGGCAGCGAUUUCCACUUAAUUUUUUCUUAUUACUUCACUCAAGAAGAAGGUGCCAAUUAUCGGUCUUCUAUGUCGUAGUUAUGGAGAAAGAAGAAAAGAAAACAAAGAAAACAGUGAUAAUACAGAGCAAAGGUUCCACUAUGAUCAAAAACCCUAGCAAUCACCAUGAAAAUCCUAAUAACUGUGAAGGGAUGAAAUUACCCACAUCCACAAGUAACAAAUUCGAACCAGAUUACAAAAUUUCAAGUCCGUAACGCCGAAGUUCUCUGCUACCACCAUAGAAUUCCAAAAAAAGAAAAGAAAUGCCCUUUUCUUUUUUUCUCUCCAAAUUUUCCAGGUCACGAAAUGAAGAGGUUCAAACCCAAGAAUUCGAGACAUAACUAGUAGAGGCUUUGUUCAUAGUAUGUUGUCCAUGCGAGAAACAAUUAAUACUUCCAAAAAGGAAGUUCAAGGAAACUUUUCAAAAGUUCCUUUAUAUAUCAGUCUACUAUCUGAAAGGAUCAUUACCUGAAAUCGCGAGUACAGCGGGGAAGAUGCAUAAUCCAGGUAGAUAAUUCUCUGAAGAUCAAGCUUGGGGUAUUCGGCCCUUCGCACAUUAUUCACCGACAAGUGUAAGAAGUAACCUUCGUGGUCUUCCAAGAACUGUUCUUCAGCGUCCUCGUAAGAGAGUAAUGAAGAAGGGCCAAUAUCGAUGUCCUCAGAUAGAGCAGAAGAAGAGGCAGUCGGUGUUUCGCCACCAUCAUAAUUAGAAUAUUUCCCGAACGAGCUUUGGCUCGAUCUUUCAUCCAAUGCACGAGUCGCUAUAGGUGAAUUGUAGAAGGCCGGUGAUACAGGAGAGGAGUGAUAAGAUAAUUUAUCAGACAGUGAGGAUUUGGAUGAAAAAUCGGAUCCUUCUGACUUCGAACUGACGAACUCAUUUUUGGUUUGAAUUUGCUCCGAACCAAAUCUCUUAAAUUGCUUUCCCUUCUGCAAUAAGUGGAUAAUACCUUUCCUUACUCAAAAAGAUCUAUAAUUAGCAAAAGAAAAUAUUCUCAUGCAUUACACUGUUAACGUAACCAUUAACGAUAAGAAGCAUCAAAGCUCAAAAUGUUAGCGUCAAUGAUACAUAACGAUACGCAUUACUGGUUAAGCAAAAGGGGGUGUCUUGCGCUCUUGCUUUACGAGGAAAUCAUUUGCAUAAGAUCGAAAAAGUUUCUGCCAUGUAUUCUAUAUCAUACAGAGAAAUCAACACACCAAAACAAGCAAAUAAAACGAGGCUCGAAUAACUCUUGCUUCAGAGGUCGAGAUCCUGGACUAUGCCUAAAUGAUUUGAUCGGUUAACAAGUUAAUGGCAGUAACAGGAAAGCUGAACAUUACAAGGAUAUAGUUCUAAAUAUGAAUUACGGGCGACUUACUGUAAAUCCCUUCAAAGUAGUGGAGUUGUGGAGUGACACCUCGAAAGUACUAAUUAUAAAAAAUAUCCCUCUAAAUUUUCAUAAUCUGCAAGUUUAUCACUCUCCGCGCCAGUUGAUAGAUUAAAAGUUAACUUUUUCCCCGAAAAUAACCAUUCUACAAUUGAAAAUACAAUUCUUCGCAUACUCUUACCAUCAUUUUCAAUUCUAGUGUCUCUGUUCUAUCUCUCAUGGUUUUUUAGCAAAUCCUAAAUUUUAAACCAUUAAAGAAAUCUCAAAAAGGUGAAUUUUUGUAACAGAAUUCAACCGGUUGGGACAAAUAUAAACAAUUUAAAACUUACUUUUCUAAACUUGAAACAAGAAAUGGAAAAUAAUUGGUAAGGUAAAAGUGUUUGAAGAUGCCAAAAAAUGAUUUUUUAAUUGACACAAAACCCCUUCAGCUUUCAAUUUUUAUUAUUUUGAUUUUAAUCGUUUGCAUUAAAUAACUUGGAAAUUUUACUGAAUUUAAUGGUGACUCAGCAAGACUCAAUGGCUUAACAAGAACUCUUCAGCUGAUAAAAUAUUGAUUUGAUCAUUUUAACAAAAACUCCAUUCAAAUGACUAAAAUAAACUAAAUCAAGAUAAGCAAAAAUCAAAGUUGACUCGUUUUUUUAAAACUCGAUAACAGUUGAGGGGUUCUCCAAACAUUAUCACCAAUUCGAAAACAUUCACAGAUGAAACAAAAUGUAAUAAUAUCAUUUAGUAGCAUCAAUAUAAUUGCUAAAUAACAUGAAACUACCACAUCUGGACUCGAAACUUUCUGAUAGAUUUAUGAUGCAAAAUAAAUUAAAUGAGAGAAAAUUAAACUCUUACUUUUAUACCGUGUUAAAGAACAUAUAACAACCGGGGUGUUCUCUAAAGCUCAAGCAAUCAUAGAACUUAGAACAAUGUUUUCGAUACUUGUAUUCAACAAAUAAUCACUACUAAGAGAGAGAACGCCGUAGAGAAAGAGAGAUUGGUGUAUAGGGUUAGAGAAAUCGCGGCGACUCAC
This 52205-nucleotide long non-coding RNA is filed under the name Ananas comosus (pineapple). Its description in RNAcentral is "long non-coding RNA (ACOM_LNC002487)". The record is from RNAcentral. Lineage: Eukaryota; Viridiplantae; Streptophyta; Magnoliopsida; Poales; Bromeliaceae.